This 49496-nucleotide long non-coding RNA is filed under the name Coffea arabica (coffee). The record is from RNAcentral. Lineage: Eukaryota; Viridiplantae; Streptophyta; Magnoliopsida; Gentianales; Rubiaceae.
UUUUUUUUUUUUUUUUUUUUGUGGGGUUGGUGGAAGAAAUCAUCACGUAAUACGAGAUACGAUUGAAAAAAUAGUUGCGCCCAUAAACGGAGGAACAAAAGAAAUCUGCAGAGCUGCCUAUUGAUUUGGCUGGAAGCUGUGUAAUUUUGAUGUCAACUGGCGCAAUAUUAAUAUAAGGUGUGGAUUUACCACUUAUUCCUGAUAUUCAUGAGAAGAGCGGGUUUCAAUCUCACGAGAGUUUUCAAUUAUCCGGGAAAAUGAUUAUUAGAAAGAAAAACAAAAUGGGGAGAGGCGUGGUUGUGUGUAUCCACGCGACAGACAGUUUUAAGCGGUCGAAAAUGGAAAAGUCUGUUGGACUUGAAUAGGUGAUGUCGACGAAGUCCCAACAAGCUCCUGGACAGGAAGUAAUUUAGGCACUAAACAAACACUACUACUGGUUAGUUGUCUUUCCAACUCCUACUAAGUACUAACCAACCAACCGAAAGCAAACAAACGCAAAAGAGAGCCCCCAGUCUUCUUCUUUAUAUAUCUGUCUCUAUAUGACUACUUUUUCAGGCGGAGAAACUGUCGUGGCCGCCGGAGUGAUGUCCCACCUAGUCCUUAGCUGCGAAUCAUUUACCGUUGUCUUGCCAAUCAAUUUUCAUGGUAAUAUAUAUAUAUAUAUAUAUAUAUAUAUAUAUAGAGAGUAAAUUCAAAAUUUACCGAAAUCCACAUUUUACACAUUGGUAAACUGCAAAUAUAUAUAUAUAAUUAAAAAAAAAGAAAAGAAAGUGUAGCAUUUGUGUUAGCAAUCUUGUACGGCCAUUUAGUUAGUGUUGUAUUUAAAUACACAAGGGCAUCUUCCUUGUAAGAUACACUACUAUAAGCCAGACAAAUCUCCCAUCCAUAUCAUAUGUAAAACUGCAAAGAGGGAGGGAAUGAUUCAACGAGUCCAAGGCCAACAGCUAUGAGGUAUCCCAUUCCCAGCCCCCGCGACCGCGAGAAAGAUCAAAGAGAGAAGCCCCCCAGUUUUUACGUUCCCAUACUUAAAACAAAUCAAAGCAUCAUCCGUCGAAUAAUCAAAAGCAUACCAUCCAUGGCCAUGGAUUCUUGACCGUUGAAAAGUCCCACCCCAAUUAUUCUCCUACUCGUUUUUCUUUUUCUUUUUAUUUUUGGUUGAAAAAAAGUAGUGUUCUGCAUCAUUGACCACAAAUAGAAUAAGAUAAAAUUGAAAGAAAAGGCUUCACAGCAGACUAAUAGAAUAAGCGUUCUCGUUUUAAAAUAUAAUGUCAUAAUAAUACUCAUGCCUUUACCAGUAUAUUAGACUAUUAUCCAACUAAUAACUAAGUGAAAGCUGAGAAUUUGGUUACAUGUUGUCGUUAAAAGUGGGUCCAUGAAUUGAUACUUGUACUCUAUAAGUGGACGGUUUGUCUAAUACGGAUGCCCAUAAUAAGACACUUGGUAACAUAUAGUUGAGGUGUUAUAUUUUUAAAAAUAUAAGAUUAAUUAAAAAAAAAAUAUAAGUAUAAAAAAAAGUAGAUCGGAUUAAAUAAAAAAAUAUAUAAAUGUAAGAGAGAAUACUAAUUGUUAGUAUAUAUAUAUAUGAAAUAAGUUAUGUAAAUAUUAAAUGUGUUAACGAAUUUUCUAAAAGCACUUGAUAGAAAAAUCAUAAGCUGAUUGUUACAUGCCACUCACGAAAUUUUCAUAAUAACAAAUGACCGUAUGCAAUCAUAAUUACAAGCAAAUGCGGAAAAAAAAAAGGCUUUCUAUUUUGUGACAUCGGUGCCUGAAAUAAUAAAAAAAAAAGGGUGAGUUUAUUGCGAGGCAAAUUUUAAAAUCAUUGCUCGCUCUAAAAUUAGCGUCAUAAAACGCACUUUUUAUAAUAUUUGGAGCUCGGUGGGUACUACAGAAUACAAAGAAGGGAGGAAAAAGAGCAAAAAAAGAAAAAAAAAAAACAGAAAACAAAAGAAAAAGCAGCAAGAGUCCAAGGUAAGAGCUGAUCUCACAAAUCCUCCCUCAGACGCGGCUAAUUGAUCAGAAUAUAGACGUAAAAAAAAAAGGUCAGACAACUACGGUUCUGGCAUGGGGGUUGUAUAAAUCUAUGGGUGCCGGGCUGACACAGCCCGGCACCUGACACACCAAUUUUUUUUUUUAAAAGUUGUCAGGUGCCGGGCUGUGUCAGCCCGGCACCUGACACCACUUUAUUUUUUUUUUAAGUUGUCAUAGCCCGGCGCCCAUCAAAGCAUCCCAAACCAAAGAUAUCCAUUUUGUGUUUUGGUUGAGAAAGAGAGAGACCCGAAAAGUUGUGUUGCAUGAAGAUUAAUUUGAAUAGGGCACUAUAUAAUCUGAUAAAGGUCAACCAAAAUAAAAAAUUUGACAAAGAAAGUGUCAAAAUUGGCAUGGAAUUGAAUCUAGUAUGUACCCUUGCAGAGUUCAAUAUUAUUAUAGCAUAACUAAGGCCUUGUUUGGAUUGCGGUUUUUCGUCGGAAAAUUACGUCGUUUUCCGUGAUCACAUUUCCCUAUUACCUUUUUUCCUCACAUACAUCAAAUCGCUACAAUAAUUUUUCCAUGAAAAAUCAUGAAAAAUGCAAUCCAAACACAACCUAAGUAUUGACGGAUUCCAACUCAAGUUGCAUAUGUUGCUGCUGAUUCAGGAAACGGGGUAGCCGGAAAUUAUACACAGGAAAAAAAAGAGGCAAAUAGGAAAAGUAAACAAAAUUACUAGCUGGGCUUAUUUUAGUUUAGAUCAAUGAGAAUGGUGCUUGUAACUUUUGCUAUAAGUAUGAGUCAAAAUUUGAAUCGGUAUAGAAAAAUAAAAAUAAAAAACACAUUUGACAUUCAACUUUUACAAACACGCAAAAGGUGAAAAAAAAAAAAUUUUUGGGUCAAGGCAUCUUGACAAAAAUUUUUAUAAUAUUUUGGAUUGAGCAUUAUUUCUUCAAUUUUAUUUGUUUACAACAUCAUUACAAUUUUCAAUACACCUUUUUAUCUUCCCAAUUACCUUUUUAUCUCAUAUACAUCACAUCACAAAAAGUGUUACAGUAAAAAUAUCCCAAAUAACUUACAAUCCAAGCAAAUCCAGGCGUCGUAAUUAAAUUUCUUAAAAUAUAUAUCAUUUUUCACGGUAGCUCCUAACAAUUUUUUUGUCUCGCUUUAUCUUGCAUUGGACACAAUUAUACCUAUACUAUUAUUAACUCUUCUUUCUCUGGCAUUUUUUUGUUCCUUUUUUGUGGUAUUAUAUUUUCUUUGUCACUUUAUUGUUUCUUUAAAUUUUCUUCUUUUUUCACAAAAAUUGAUAUCUUAAUGAUUGAAAUUGAAAAAGAGAAACUGUAGAAUUCUAUCUUUUCCUUAAAUGAUUAAAAAAUAUUCAAAUCACUUGACUUGAAAUACAAUUAUCUAGUAUCCAUAUUCUUUUAAUUUUGAAUUUUCCUCUUUCAUUUAUAGUUUCUCAUUUUAUUCUCAAGAAAAUAUCGUAAGGCUGAAAUUGUGAUAUGAUUAGUAAUUAUCAAUUCCAAUUUGUGACAUGUUGCAUCAUGCAAAAGAUCAAACCCCAAACCCUAAACACUAAACCCUAAACCCUAAACCCUAAAACCCUAAACAUUAAACCCUAAACAGUAAACUAAUUCAUUUAAAUUCAUUUAAUCGAAAUUCAUUUAAACUAAUUAAACUAAUAACAUAUACUAAAUAACAUAAACUAACCUCGCCAAAUACAUCUAAAUUCAUUUAAUCGAACCUCUUAAAUUUAACUAAUUCCACAAUUAAUUCAACUAAUUAAUCGACUAAACUAAUUCAAAUAAUUGUUUACUAAAUAACAUAAACUAAUUAUCAACUAAUUUGCAUAAUAAAGUAAAUUGUAUUAAACUAAUAACACUAAUAUCUAUACUUAAGUUAUGCUAAAUACAUCAAUUUUAGUUAAACUAAUUUAAUUAAUCCAUUAAACAAAUUUAAACAACUGGAUACUAAGGUGAGAUUCCACCAACUAAGAAGCACCACUUAUUAGUCGACAUCUCAUAAAUACAAAAACUCUGCGGCUUCUUAACAAUUGAAUCAGAAGACAGAAAAUUGAAUUAGCUUUAAAAAGCUGUCAGGUGCCGGGCUGUGUCAGCCCGGCACCUGACAACUUUAAAAAAAAAAAUUGGUGUGUCAGGUGCCGGGCUGACAUAGAUUUAUACAGAUCCAAUGUCAGAACCGUAGUUGUCUGACCUUUUUUUUUUUCGUCUAUAUUCUGAUCAAUUAGCCCUCAGACGCGGACAUAUAUGCGUUCGUUCAUUUCUUCUCUGUUUCUCACGCAAUAUAUAUAUAUAUAUAUACACACUACAAGUAUAUUCUACUAGUAUUAUGAUUUGACCAAUUAAACGGGGGAAGGGCGCCGGCAAUAGCCGUCUCCUGGAGCUGAAAUUCAAACCAAGCAAACACGCCAUUUAAAGAUGGCCCUAAUUUCUUCCAUCCCCAUAUAUGAAUCUGAUACGUUCUUCUUCCUCUCAUUCCUUCCUCCUCCAAAAUCUCCAACUCCGGAACCCUCUCUCCCUCAUUUGUACUGCUACUAUACUACUAGCUUCAUAAUUAGCACUGCUAGUAUUCCUUUAUAAUACUAUACUGCUACUGCUAUUAGUGGUUUAUUAUCCUGUUCUCAUCAUCAUCAAAUCAUCUUCCGGAUGAUGAUGCCUUUUCCCUGUCGCUCCCGCACCAUCAUUUCUCCAUCGUUUGGCAGAUGAGGAGUUUGCCCUCUUCCUCCGUCGCUCUCACCCUUCUUUACUUUCUCCAUUUUAGCUCGUCUUUAAUUUCCCGGCAAUAACAACCCAACCCCCCCUUUUUUUUUCCUCUUCUUUUUCUUCUUCUCCUUCGUAAUUAUCGUUAGGCACAAAUCAUACGCGUCAUCAACCAUGUUUUUUCUAAAUCCAAUUUUAUUCUUGUUGAUAAUCGUAGUCCCCUUUUUAAUCUUUAGAUUCUUGUCCAGAACAUCCAUUCUGCAUAUCGCGAACAAUUGGUGGCGGACUUUAGCUGACAAAUUUUACGUGUACCAGUUGUACAGAGUUCCCCAAUUCAACGACCACAUGCAGGAAAAUCAACUCUACCGAAAAGUUCACACCUACCUCAGUUCUCUCCCGGCCGUCGAGGACUCCGACUUCACCAACCUCUUCUCCGGUGCCAAACCCAACGAGAUCAACCUCGUCCUCGACCCCAACCAGAUCGUCCUCGACAAUUUCCUCGGCGCUCGAUUGUUCUGGAUUAACCAGAAAUGCGACGGGUCUGGGUUGAAAUCGCUGGUUCUCAAGAUCAGGAAGUCCGACAAGCGCAGAAUUCUGCGCCCCUACCUCCAGCAUAUCCAUACGGUCUUCGAGGAACUCGAACAGCGAAAGGAUGUCAAACUUUACAUCAACGUCGAGGACGAGCCGCAGAGAAACGGACGGUGGAGGUCGGUUCCCUUCACGCAUCCGGCGACGAUUGACUCGGUCGUGAUGGACUCGGACUUGAAGAACAAAGUCAAGUCGGAUUUAGAAUCCUUCCUCAAGUCCAAACAGUAUUAUAACCGAUUAGGCCGGGUUUGGAAGCGGAGUUAUCUCCUCUACGGGCCCUCCGGUACCGGGAAGUCCACAUUCAUCGCUGCGAUGGCCAAGUUCCUCUCCUACGACGUCUACGACGUCGACCUGUCCAAAAUAUCGGGCGACUCUGAUUUGAGGUCGCUGCUGCUGCAAACGACGAGCAAGUCGCUAAUCGUGAUGGAAGAUCUGGAGCGCCAUCUGACGGGGAAAUCAACGGCGGUGAGCUUGUCCGGGAUCCUCAACUUCAUGGACGGCAUAGUCUCGUGCUGCGGCGAGGAGCGCGUGAUGGUAUUCACAAUGAACGGCAAGGAUCACGUUGAUCCCGCGAUUCUGAGGCCCGGGAGGAUAGAUGUUCACCUGGAGUUCCCUCUCUGCGAUUUCAACGCCUUCAAAAGUUUGGCCAACAGCCAUUUGGGUGUGAAGGAGCACAAGCUUUUCCCUCAGGUGGAAGAGAUGUUCCAAAGCGGGGCGAGUUUGAGUCCGGCCGAAAUUGGCGAGCUUAUGAUUGCCAACCGGGCCUCUCCCAGCCGGGCCUUGAAAUCCGUAAUAUCCGCGCUGCAGAAUAACGCGGACACCAAGUUAGCUGGCAGGGUGUCGCGCAACGGGUCGGUUCGGUCAGCGGAGGAAUCCGGCGACUCGGGAAUAUUGUGUAAAGACGCCGGUGUUUCCACCGUCAAGGAGUUUCGGAAAUUAUAUGGAUUCUUGAGGAGGAGUCGAAGGGAAUCCGCAGAUUUGGAUGACAAGGAAAGGGAAAUUGGUCGACAAGAAAGUUGAGUCGUGCCCACCCGUCCACCAAUCAAACUACACCAAAUCAGAAAACCCCGUUUAAAGUUUCAGAAGAGUAGUCUGUCUUUCUCUCGCUGUUGUGCUCAAUAGUCCAGUAAAGAUAUUUUUGGCUUUUUCUCUCCCCUUUUCCUAUCUUCCUUCCAUAGUAUAGUUAGCAUUUGGGGGAAAAAAUACUACUGCUGUAGUAUAUUUAAUUAGCACAGCGUUAAUGUUUAGCGGGAAAACUUCCACAGGAUACUACAGUAACGAUUGUUGUAGCAGUACAGAUAGAUCCAUUUUUAAGUAGCAUAGCAUUACAUUAAUUAUUAUUUGUUUGCUGGGAUCUUCUUCCCAAGAACAACAUAGCAGAAAAUUUUCCUUUCGUCCAUGUCAGGUGUCUAACGAUCUAAUGAUGUACUAGCAGUUACCCAAACAAAGUGCGGGGGCGGUCCUAGUCAGAAAAUAAAUGUUAGCGACAAAAGGAGGUUUUGGUUUCAACGCCUUUAGAAGAAGGAAGGAGGGGGCUGGCAAUGGCCUGUUGAAAUUGGGAUGCCCUCUGAAAAUGGUCAUUGACUUUGGACGUCCGUUGGUUGCAUUUUAUGUCUGAUUUUGACUUUUUUGCAAAAUGGCGCCGAGAUUGCCUACCGUUUUCAUAUCAUAUCAAUUAAUCAAUCAAUAAAGGCAUAAAAAAGGAUGACUUUUUUUUUUUUGGGGGCUACCUAGUAGAUAACACGACGCCUCACAAGAUUCAAAGGUUACCCUUAUUAUUCCUUUCUACUGGAUUGGUUUGGUUUGGUUUGGUUACGCUAUAUCUCCAAAGCGAGUGGUGGGUUCGUGAAUAAUACAUGACGCAGCGUAUAUGUGCUGUCGAAAGAAGAUGGAUAUGUCCAUUCCAUAUGUGAUAUCGAAUCAUAUCACUACUGCUUCGAUAGGGUUUGGAUGUGGAAUGUUGCUAAAUUGGUCUAGAAAAUGAAAAUUUAGUAGUAGAAGUAGUAGUAUCAAAGCUAAUCCAUUCGCAUAUGACGACAUGGAAUUCAUUUCGCAGCGUUGAGAAUGAGAAUGGCAUUCAAAUUGGGAAUCAGGCGAUCGUCAUAGCUGAAUGUGAAUGUUCUCCGUGUAUGGACUAAGUAUAGUAUAUCCUUCUUUCUUUCUUUCUUAUGAUGGAGAGAUGACGAUAAUACGCGGAUUUACAAUUGGUCUCCAACAACUCUCCUUAGUAUACUAUCCAGGUCCAUAUAUUCUUCUCUUAAUCUAGUAGCCAUGCCAUGCCCCCUUUGGAUAAUUGCUCUACUGUUUUGCAAAAUCUUUUUGUGGCCAUUUUCACAAAAUUAGUUCUGACUUGACAUAAAAAGAGGUGCUUGAUUUAAUUCUCUGCAAAUAUAUUUUGUGAUCUAAUGGCAGGUAUAAUGAACACUAAUGCAAAAUUUUACUCGUGUCACAAAGUACGAAAGUCCGCAUGAGAUCAUUGCAGGAAUGAACGCAUGCAUAUUCAGGAAAUUUUCAUCUACGAGGAUUGGAUUGUCGUCUAAUCAGUUACUUUCGCUAAUCUUAAAAUUUGGUGGUACUAGUGUACAGAGUGAAUCGAUCAAUUUGGAUUGUCAUCUAAUCGGGGACGGUGAGGUCGUUCCUCUGCCGCUACAGCUCCGUCGUCAUCGCAAACUCUCUUGGUAAUUUUAGGGCUUACACCUGCGCUGCCUCCUCCUCCUUCUUUUCACAUAGCGCCAAACGAGUGGGUACUCAACAGUGGCAGCUUUCAUUGCGACGAAGCUCUCGGCUGCUUUAUGAUUCGCCUCUCCAACAGCUUCUCCAAUGCCCAAAUCAUCCGUACCCGCGAUUCCCAGGCACUUUUGAAAAUAAUUUUGUUAUGACUGCCCGGACCUUUUUCCCCCCCUUUUCUUGCUGUUAAAGUGACUAAUUAGGAAAAAACAACCUAUUCAUUCGAGGUUCUGGAAGGGCUUGUUGCUGUACUUGAUGUUGGAGGAUUCUAUGACCCCAAGCAUUAUAGACCGUUACGACCGUCACCAGGAAGGUUUUAACGAGGUUUUGGCUAUGGACACUCCACUGAACUUAGCAGUGCCGGCCUCGUCUGCAAGGUAGCUUUUACUUGCCCAUAAAUCUCUCGGUGCUCUGUAUUUUUUUUUUUCCAUAGCCCUGGAUCCGGUGCCUGUUUUUUAGUAGUAGCAGCAGUAGCGGGUUUAGUCUAGCAGCAGAGUUGUUGGCGCGUGAAAUUUACAGUUAUUCAGAUUACUUUGUUAGAUAAAUAAGUUUAUCAAUCUGCGGUUAUCCUUUUCUGUUCCUGAUUUUUCACUUCCAGCAUUAUGGGAAGGAGAUAGUUGCCAAGGAGGUUCAGCUAGAUGAGGGACAUCCAGAUGUACACCUGUUAUUUUUGACAGUUUAUAACUUCAUGGAGGUAACAAUCCAACCGUGUAUUGUAAGCCUUGUCCUGAAUGGUUCAUGGACUUAGUACUGUUUUACCGGUCCAAUAAUAUUUUUGACUGAGCAAAUGAAACCUUUGAAUCCUAUCUUCUUUCUGGUUUUCCCUGUCCUUUUCCCAAGGAGUUGCUUCUUUAGUUUUAUUAUUGCUAUAGAUUAGACAAGGGAAGCUAGCUGAUUGACUGGAAUGGCAGUAUAGAAAGGUAUUGCUCUUGCUUCUUGACAUGGCCCGUGUAUGUUCUGUCAUUAGUCAGAUGCUUAUCAACUUGCACCAAAUUUUUUGCUUUAAUUGGCUGUAGAUGCUACUGACAAUGGAAUAAAUCAAUGCAAUACAGGCCAGCCUCCUAGGUUUGUGAACAACACAAGCUUGUGCUCCAGAGUUGGAAGAUUGAAUCUAGAUUGGACUCAUUUUGAUCAAUCACCCGAGCAUGAAAAUAAUGCCUUUCAACAAGCAAUGGAGCUAGCGGGGAAGGAAUUUUUGGAGGAGACUUCCCCUUGAACUCUCACUAUUCUGAGUUGGGUUUGUCUUCCACUCGACAAUAUUUUUGAAGUUAGUACUAGGCUGAUUGGAAACUUUUGUUUUCCUAUCAUCCUGCACAACUUCAGACGUUCAACUCAUAGCUUAAGCAUGACAAGAUUGUUAAAGGAACAAAUUUUUUUUUUUAAACUUUUCAUAUCGGAGUGCUCAUUUCUAUGCAAAAUCAUGGUUGCAAGUUCGAUCCGUAGUUAUGGAAUGUCUAGCAGAAAGAGAGAGCUGUAGAUCCAACUGGGGAAGUCAUUGUGCAAAAUAGAUCUUUUCCUGUAAGUGGAAACUGGUUGUCUCAAUCAUGUCCUUUUUUUUUUUUUUUUGUCAGCAACGAUAUAUUUUUUUGUCUCAAUCAUGUCCUUGAUGACCUUAUUUAGCUUUUUGAUUCUGUCAUCCUUCACCUCUUUCAAUUGUUUGCCUAUUGGUCUGUGAUCAUUCCUUUCCUUCUUUAACAAUCAAUAAACCCAAUGGUCAUGACAACCCAUAAUGACAGUUAUUAGCAUUUCAGCAGUGGAAGCUUCACAUUUUUGACCUGGAGAGGGAACAUUGAUACUUCGAUUAUGUAUGUUAUUUAUCAGGUACCAUCAUGUUCAUCACCCUACAUUAUUCUUUUUGAAAAGCAUGUUAAUAGGUUUAUUCUCUUGCAGUCCACUCAAAGAAGGAAAACAAUAUUCUUUUAUAUCAGCAUGUGCAUAGAAGGAAAACAAGUUCAAUGUCGUCUAUUAAUGAGAGAUAUUCUCUUGAUAAAUAUUCUUGCAUUACUUGCUUUUCUUGCCUCAAAGAAGCAAUAGGAAUAGCGACCUCAUCAAGGUCAAGUAAUUUAUGCUUGGCUAAGUGCAAUGUUUUCAUUUUGUUAGGUCAAAAUGUGUGCAACAGAUAGCUGGUGAAUCAUCUUUUCUUGGAAAAGAAUAUCAUUAGUUGCAAAAAAUUUCACGGUUUUAUUGUUCUGUAGGAUGAUAGGAGUGAGAACUGGCAUAUUCAGGAAGUGGCAGUCUCACCUGAAAAUUUUGAAAGCCGGAAACCCCGACCAUCUCUCUGGAGGGGUCUCAAUGAUGGAGAGCUUUGCGAAGCUACUCAUAUCCCUGGUUGUACUUCUGUGCAUGAGUGGAUUCAUUGGAGGAAAUGAAACUUAUGAAUGUGUUCUUGCUAUGGCAAGGGCUUCUUUGAUGGCUUAAGCAACAAACAAGGUAAUGAAGAACUUUCUUUGAAUAAGAUGCAUGUGCAGUUCGAAUAUGCUGACUCAAGUACCAUUGUUUUAUCAUCCUCAAAUCCUUAAUUUCUUGAAACUCAUUUCUGUACAACUAUCAUCGCAGGUAAAGAAACACACAUUAUUAGAUACUAUUAUGUUAAGGUUAAAAUUGAGUCCAUUGGGAACAAAAUUUGUGGCUCAACCUGAAUCUUCAGAAGCUGCAGGCAAUCCUUCUUUAAACCAGGUAUUUAGUCCUCCUUCCAAGUGGUAGACAUUGCUGUAACCAUUGAGAACUAGCAAGUAAGCUGCUAUCAGUGACCUACAUAAAGUAACAAAAGCAGGUAAUGAAUCUUCUCCCUUGUACAGUGUGCAGACAGUGUAAUGAACUUUUUAACACUUUGCAUUAUGUAGCACUGUCUUCACACACGUUAAUUUAUAUAUAUAUAUAUAUAUUUUUUUUUUCCACUAGUUAUAUUUGGCACAUCACUAUGACUCCGGAUUUUUGAACAUAGAAAUGUAAUACCUUGAUUGUUGCCCUUCCGGAAGACUUUGUGAUGGCUUCAUUGUACCACCAGAUGAGCAAGCUACUAUUAUCUUCGCUUUCUUAUCUAUUUUCGAUUCCACACCUGCUCUCAAGUAUUAAAAAAUUAGUUCUCAAUUUACAUCAGAGCUUUUUCCAUAAGCCUUAAGUUGAUUGAUUUAUGCUAAGAGCCAUACUUUGCAUAAAGUCUGGAUUUUCUUCUGUUCCUUGGAAGAUGCCGAAAAAUGCAAAUGCUGCCCUCCGGGCAAUGUCCCAUGGUGUCCACUCCUUUAUGAGCCUAUAAAUUUGAACAUUAAUAGCUCCUGGCGGAUGAGCCUAUGCCAGGAAAUGAUCAUUUAGUAAAGCUUUUACAAAACAGGCAUGGACAUUUGAAAUUAUAGUUGGUUUGCCUAACCAUGGGCAAGGCAGAUGAUCUAUAUGCUACACUAGUGUGAGAGAAGAUCUUGCAUAAUUUGGUCAGUGCAUCUUUUUUAGCAAAAAUGAUCCAUGUGUCUUAGGUCUGAAGUAUCCUGUCUUGAAAAGUGUUUUAAUACUUAAAAGUACUUAUCGAUCUAUUGGUACUUGCAUUUUGCGUGUCUUGGUGUGCACAUUAAAAAUUUGGGUUGCUGCUGAUGACUUCUUUCUGACUUCAAAUCAAGAGUCAUAAUUCUGUUUCUAUGGCAGAAGAAGGACAUUUACCUCUUUAAACUCUGCUUCUGGACGUACAUCAAGAAUCACAAAGUUAUUUUCUUUCUGAAGUCGCAAAGCUUCGUUCACCUCGACACUCCUUACCUACAUAAUCUGGCAUGGUUAGGCCUUGUAUGAAGUAAUUUGUAAUUUUAUCACAAUUUGCCAUACAUAAGCUAAGUUUUCAUUUUGAAUCAAUUAAAAAAAAAUGAUUCGGAUCCAUAGAAACCUCACUUCUGCUUCACAUGUGGUUAUUAUCUUCUGGAUGACCAAAAGGUUUCUACGGUUAAAUAGAUGGACAUGGCAUUGGAAGUAACUAUUAAACAGCCACUGCUGUGUUAAAAAAGUUUUGAUGAAUGUUAAAACUUGUGUGAUAUCUGAAGCAUCCAAAACUCCGUAUGCACUUGCGAAAAAAUGUGGUUCUAAAAUUUAUGAUGGAGACAACCUGUAAACUGAGAGACUAUGCACCCUAUAUGAAGUAAUUGCAUUCUUUAGCCGUGUCCACAAUGUGCAUGCCUGCUUGUGUCAGUAUGGUUUGUCGUAUAGUGAAUCAGAUAUUACCUUCUUCUCAAGCAGAUACUUCCUCUUAAUCGACCAGUCCUCUUCAGCUGAUCCCUCCAAAAGGAAAGAAAUCACUGAGAUUAUGCUUAAAUGUUGCGAUUUUGUGAUUAUAUAUCAUGGGUGCAUUUCUGAGGUCUUCUAUAGUUUGCAAUUACAAAAUGAUACGAGUCAUAGGAGCAAUAAUAGCAGGUACCUGGUGAUUUGGCGGGUUUGGUUGCGGCGCUUCGAACAGUGAAUCUAGCAGCUGUUGAGCCUGAGUUUGUCCUGCUUGAGUUUUGAAUAAUGGCUUUAGGGGUCAAGCAACAGGAGCUGGGUUCAUUAGCAGAGUUCGGGCAAUAAUUGUAGUUAAAAGCUGGGAUCCUGGAAUGAAAAUUGCGAUGUAAAGAGCAAGUUGAAUGUGGAUUGACUGAAGUGGUGAGGGAAGCCAUAUGUCUAAAAGAAGAAAUGCGCUUUUUAUAUCAGGCGUGAAUCAAGAUUGAAUUCAAAUCAAAUUCAAAGAGAAAUGCGAGCUAAGCUUUCUUUCUCUUCCUGGGGUUCUUCCUCUGCGUUUGAUUUCCUUUCUCUGAGAAAUGUGCUUUUGUGUUGUGGAAGUUAGUGGGCCAGGGAUCUUGUGGAUAUUUCGGAGUGUCAAAAUCUGGAGUCGUGGCUGUGGUGCGCUGGUUCUCUGCCAUUAUGGACUUCUUUCGUCUCCCCUUAUCCUAUCAGCUUUAUUACGUACGGUUUCCUAACUCUCUUUCUCCACAUAUUUUUCUUAUGGUUUUAUUUUCCUUAAUUAUGUGGUUAGCUUAACCCGCUCCACCGCCUCAACCAAAAAGCAUAUACCUAUUGGCUUAAUUAUGUGGUUAUGAAACUCAAGUCCCACAAACCAAAACUUAACUGUGGUAGAACUCUUGAGUCUUGCUCAUUCCCCUUCCCACCCAGGGUUUCCCUUGAAAAAAAAAAAAAAACCAUUAUUGGUCUCAUCCUCUUCCUGCCAUGGUAUAUUAGUGAAAAGGCAACAUGUAUAACUUGAUUUUCUAUUAUGUUUCGUUGAGGGCUUUAAGUAAGAAAAGUCCUGCAGACUCUCUCUAGUCCUUGUGAAAUUAUAUUUACUUCCCCAUUGAAGUUAAUGGGCAGUACACAUCGUAUAAUUAAUUACUCAUAUGUUGUAUUACAAUGUGGUCCCCUUGUUAUUUUUGAUCUAAAAAUAUUUGUAUAAUAUUUUUGUGGUGUUUCUCGUGUUGUUAAACCUUUCAAAACCAAUACAAAUGGGUUAUUCAUAAGAUGUGCCUUUCUCACUAAUGAGAGAUAAGGCAUCAAAAUAAAGAUCUUUAUAGGCUAAUAUACAUUAAAAGGAACAAGUCAAAUUCCCAAAAAUAAUAAUAGCAAAUACUCGUAUUACCAAUACAAAUAGUGAACUAGAUGGUAUUGGCACCAUUCUUUAAGUCUAAGGAUUUAUGGCGAGCACUGAGAAAUUUUUUUUUUUUUAAUGGGGUCCAUCUUCCCAUCAUCAAGUACUCAAAUAUUAGCAUUACAUGCCUCGAUAAUCCAAUCUUCUGGGAUGCAUGCAUAUUUCGGUAGUUAAUACUUCCUCACUCCCAUUUUAUAUGUUAUGGUCAACCUUGUAAAUAGUUUUAAAAAAAAAUGAAGUUUAACUGAGACAAGUAAGCUACUAAAAAAAUGUCUUUUCAUUAUUGCCCUUCAAUUAAACUCUAAAUUUUUGUAAGUUGAGGUUAAAAUUUUAAAAAUGGCACAGCUACCUAAAACAAAGAUAGUAGUAGUUUAUAGCACGAUUUAUUCAGAGAAUAUGAUUUAAAUGCUUUACCUCGAGAGUUGUAUCAAGGAUAUAAUGGAAAAGUUGAAUUUCAUUUAUUUCUAUUUUAAAUCAUGACAAGUAUUUAGGGACAAAUCAAAAUACAAACCAUGACAUAAAGAGUAAGAGUAUUUUGGGAGUAUUACAAUGACUAGGACUUUGUCAUGUUAAUUAUGAAAGAGAUACUCUCUGUAAAGAGAUCAAUUUAGUGUCGUGGGCUUAUGCUUGGACAACGUAAUUUAUUUUCUUCUCCUCAUGCUUGCGGCUGUUAGAAGAAGAGGUUGCUUUCGCUUAUUUAUGUGGAUUUAGAAUCUGAAGUCCUCAAGGAACGUUCUGAUUUUAUUCUUUUCCCACAAAAAUGGAAAAAAAAAAAUUAAAUCUUCAAUAUGGGCUCCUGUGCCAUCAUCAGGUGUAAUUGAUCAGGCACCGCAUACUUCAGCCUGGUUUUGUUCUGCAGGGACAACUUUUUUUUUUUUUUUUUCUGCGGAAAUAACUUAAUACUCCUUCCGUCCCACUUUGAUAGUCCUGUUUGCCUUUUUCGUUUAUCCCAAAUUAUAGUCCACUUUUCAAUUGAAAAAUGUACUGCCUGUUUGGAAUCUCAGGUUUUUUGCAAGUUUGUAUGAUACUAGUUUUUUAACACCUUUUGCUACAGGAACCCCAAAAAACUUAUCAAAGUUUUUAACCUACAUACUUCAUCUAAUACACAAAAAAUUUCUCUUCAACUUUUCUUCUUUUUCCUCUCUCAUCCAACACACCAUGUCCUCCGUCACCAGCCAUCACCGCUCCCGGCGCCGGUCACCUAUUCCGGCAUCGCCUUUUUUUUUUUUUUUUUUUCUCUCCCUCUCCUUCACCCCCUCUCCUCCUCUCCUCCACUCCCCUCUCCCUCCCCCGCUUGCUGCGAUCUAGUUGCGCGACCAGAUCGCAGCUGAGGGAGGGGGAGGGUGGCGGGGGAGGAGAGGGGGAGAGAAAAAGCUAAAAAAAAAAAAUUCCAUGGCUUCCAUUACUCUGGUGUCGGAGUGCGAGGGGGAAGGGGAGGGGAGAGGAGAGGGAAAGAGAAAGGAAAAAAAAAUUUUCCAUGACUGCUGGGCGACCAGAUCGUAAAUAGGGAGAGGGGGAGGGUGGCGGGAAAGGGGGAGGAGAGUGGGGAGAGAAAAAGCAAAAGAAAAAAUCCAUGGCUGCAAGUUCUCAUGGCUACUGAGGGCGACGGGGAUGGGGGAGGAGAGGGAGAAGGAGAGGGAGAGGGAGAGGGAGAAGAGGGGGAGAGAAAAAGGGAAAAAAAAAUUUUCCCAUGACUGCUGAUUUUUGCCCGUCAGAGGCAGAGGUGCCGGGGGAGGGGGAAGGGAGAAGAAGAAAGAAAGAAAGAAAAGAAAAGGGGAAAGAAAAGAAAAAAGAAAGAAAGAAAAAGAAAAAGAAAGCAAAAAGUUUUUAUCCUAAAAAUUUUUCUUACAACUUCUACGGUAAUCUAUAGUAAAGUUUUAGACAAACACCCAAAAAACUCACCUUUCAAACGAGGCCGUAGUUAUCUUUUAAUUUCUCUAAAAUACCCUUAUUCAAUGUAGGUUGUUAUUAAUAUAAAUUCCCUUAUUUAAUAUAGAUUGUUAACCUAUCCCAUUUAAUACAUUUAGAUUUUUCAAAACAUAUUGAUGUAUGAAAAGCUAGCUUUGCUAUUCUUUCAAGCCCAAAUGUGAAAUAAUGUAAAAUGAGGAUUGAUUCUUUCUUGGUCAUCAAUUCAAGUUCUUAUAAACCAUCAAUUUAAGUUUUCAUGAAUAAUUAAUAUAAAAUUAUACUUUACUUAAUGUAAGGGUAUUUUAGAAAAAUAGCAACCUAAAUUUAUUGUUCUAACAAAAUUAAUUACUUUUUCUUAAACUGUGUGAAAAAAAAUUAGGAUUAUCAAAAUGGGACGGAGGGAGUACAUUUGAAGAUUCUGCUUCCUUUUUUUUCCUCUUUAUUUUCUGUAAAGGAAAAUGCUACAUAUUUUCUUGUCUGAUUCAUAUCUUUCGGUCUGAGUCCAAAAUAAUAGAGGAAAAUGAAUAAAACGGGGUGUUGGAUGAUUAUUUGGACGUAAUUAUGUACCAAACAUUUUCAGUAAUAGGAUGUAAUGAAUGCUUGCAAAACAAAAAAAAAAUUUUUGUUUCCGUUUCCGAAAGGAUGACACGUCAUCAAAUCAAUCACUGCCCUAAUUUUGAUUGAAGAAUAAGUGACAAUGAAGGUAAGAUCACUUCAUUUAUUUAUUGGUUGAAAAUACGUACACCCCCCAUGUGACUUACAAUAUAAGAAAGUGAUGGUAGGGAAGCAAUCAGACAAGGAUAGAAGAGCAAAUAAGGAAAGCAAUCAGAUAAGGAUUCCAUUUGGAUUGCUUUUUUAUACAAUUUUUUUAUAGGAGGAUGACAAUUUAAAAUAUAAAAGAUAAAAAAUGUGAUUAGAAAAAUAAUUUUUUUUUAAAGAAAAAUGACAGUCCAAACAAGUACACAUCUGGUACUAUUACAAAUCUCUAAUUAUUCCAAAAAUAAAGAGAUCAUGACCGGUGUCAAUCUCAUUGUUACUCUUACCCUGUGCCCCAAUAAAGUUAAGGCCGUGUUUAGAUUGUAAUUUUUUUAAAAAAAUAUUUAUAUUUUUCGUGAAUAUAUUUUUAAUUAUUUUUUAUUUUACAUACAUCAUAUUGCAACAAUAUAUUUUUUUACAAGAAUUUGAAAAGUUAGCAGUUCAAACGAAUUCUAAGGCUUUUAAUCAGUCUCAAAAAAAAGAUUAGAGGAACAAGGGGAAAAAAAAAAGAAAAGGAAUCUGUGCUAGGAGCCUUGAACUCCGGAGACCUUGCUCGACCAAUUUCUCACAUUCCUGCCACCAAAUCUAGAAAAGCCCAAAACCGUUUGGGUAAGGGACCGUAGAUUUUGAGAUGCCUAAGGUAAGUAGGAACACAAAUCAAGCAAACAAAAAAUUAAUUGCUUUUUUUUAAGUAAAAAAUAUUAAAUUCAGAAUCUUUUACUUAACAAAUAUUUCCCACUUAACAACUCAACUCAACCUUCCAACAAAGAAAUUACUUGAUUAGUCUCAAUUCUUUUAAUUGGGGAGUUGGACCUCGCCACAGAAAAAAAGAAAAAAAAGAAAAAAAAAACCAGCAACAACAAUAACAUCCAAUGUGACAUCGAAUGUGCCCGGUGCGCCACCCCAAAAGCCCAAUCGGUCAGUUGGAAGGGAAAGUACUGAGCUGACAAUAUAUAUACUCCUAUAGUAACAUAAAGCACCGACAGAAUCACACCAAUCCCCAGUAGCCGCGUGUCAGCUCGGUUGAAUCUAACGGCUCAAAGAAAUGAGAAGAUGAAUCUAAGGAGUUGUUUCCAUGAUUAGGCGCGUCCCUAGCUGGCGGGUAUAAAUAGUGAGCUUUCCCCCCGGCUAGCUGCUGUGAAACCCCGGGUACGUAAAACAAAUCCCACUACUUGCUAUUAAUCUCUUUCAUUUGUUGUUUUUUCGCAGUGGAGAGAUAGUGUGUGUGAGGUUGCGGAGGAGGAGGAGCACCGGCGUCCGAUUUCGAUUCCCCAAAUUAGAUCGGCUCUUCUGUGUCUCGUGUGUUUUGCAUUUUGUUUUUUAUUUUUGACGGAAGAGAGAUUAAUUUUGUUUAGGACGACAAGGGGGACAGAGAUCAAUUGAUUUUAGUAGAGUUGGAAGUAGUUUGAAAGAGAUAAUACACAAUACAAUGGAGUUGUUCUAUUACAUGGUGUUUGGGGCGCUGGGGGCGGUAGUGGCAGCUUUGGAGUUGAGUAAGGCCAACAAAGAUCGGAUCACAACUUCUCAGGCUUUCACUUCCUUCAAGAACAACUACCUUCUUGUUUACUCUCUCAUGAUGGGUACUUUCUCUAUUACUUUCCUCUAUUUUACUUCAUUUCGUCUCUUCAUUAUUGUUCUGCCUCAGAUCUACAAAUUUUCGCAAAUCAAUUGCCACGCGUCCUUAUUUGCCUAUGUUUCAGUCUGAUCUGUCUGUUAUCAUUGAGGAACCUCGGGUUUGUGGAAUAAAUAAUUGGAUCUUGGGGGGGGAGAGAGAGAGGAGGGGGGGGUGCUUCCAAUGCUAUCAAUUCCUUAAUCAUGUUACUGCUUGUCAUGCGCUCUCAUUUUGAGGCUUCGGAUCUGGAUCUCGGGGAUUUCAUCUAUUUGCGAUUGCGUUCCUUUUGAUUGAUAAAGUGCAAUUUGGACGGACGGAAGCAGGGCUGUCUUCAUAUAUAGUAUUUACACAAAAAAUUGCUUAUGCAUUCACAACGUAACGUAUUAAAACAUUUCUUCAGAUUCUAGAUUAUUGGAAGGUAAAUAGCUGAAGCAAGUUAUAUAUUUCUAUAUGUUAGCUGCUUUAGAACCCACGUGCAUUCUUGUCUUGUAUAAUUCUGGGAGAUUAGAGUGCUGACGAUUAGCAUUCUUGUGGUGACAGCUGGUGAUUGGUUGCAAGGUCCAUAUGUCUAUUACCUUUACAGCACCUAUGGCUUCGGGAAGGGGGAAAUUGGACAGCUUUUUAUUGCUGGGUUUGGAUCUUCCAUGUUGUUUGGCACAAUUGUCGGAUCUCUGGCAGACAAACAGUGAGAAAUCCCACCUAAAAAUUACGCAGUCAUAGCUUUUUAUUUUCUGCCAAUUCAACUCAUUUGAGCUUUCAAUAAAUUUCAGGGGACGAAAGAGAGCAUGCGUGACUUACUGCAUUACUUACAUACUCAGCUGCAUCACCAAGCAUUCCCCACAGUACAAAGUUUUGAUGUUGGGACGUGUACUGGGUGGUAUUGCUACCUCCCUACUUUGCUCAGGAUUUGAGUCUUGGCUUGUUGCUGAACACUUCAAGGUGAGGGGAAUUUGAAUCACCUUUGAUAAGUUAGAAUUGUGAAUGCAUCCUAUGCUAGAAUCUCUCUGUCUUUACUGAAUUUUGUUAGCUUGGGAUGACUGUCCAUCAACAAGGACAGGGGUGGAUUGAUCUGCAAGUACUUUCUCCUUACAAGUAUUUCUUGUUUGGUCAUUUUGCUCCAUCAGUUUUGUUUCUGCAUAUCUGGUAGAAAACUUAACUACGUGGGGGUCCCUUGGUGUAUUUCGAGAUGAUGAACUCAUUUGCAUGUUGGUCGAAGAUAGUCUCCUAAUUUAUGCAUCUCCAUUUGCCUUGCUUCUAGACUUAGAUACAUGUGGAAUUGAAAACUUGGUGUGUUCCUUCUAUAAAUUUAUUUUUAUCUUAUAAAUCCGGAAUAAAUGAUUUAUCUUCAGGAUUUAUAAUCUGUUUCGUUUUUGGAUUCGAAACACAUCACUUUAGCAUUUGCAUCUUUUUGCAUUUUUUCAUUAAGCAUGGUAUCACCCCCACCCCCCCCCCCCCAAAAAAAAAAAAAAAACCACCCCUUUGAAUAGUUUUAAAAGAAUCAAAGUUAAUAGCUUAGGUAGGGUGAAAGUGUUAAUUCUAAGGGUUGAUUUAUCUUUGUAGAGGGGCUUUGAUCAGCAAUGGCUUUCAUUAACUUUCUCAAAGGCUAUAUUUCUUGGAAAUGGUCUUGUUGCUAUUCUCUCUGGAUUGUUUGGAAAUCUGCUGGUUGAUUCCUUAAGUCUUGGUCCUGUAUCUCCCUUUGAUGCCGCUUCAUGCUUUCUGGCAAUUGGAAUGGCUAUUAUAUUGUCAACAUGGACUGAGAAUUAUGGUGAUCCGUCGGAGAAUAAGGACUUGCUAACUCAGUUCAAGAGCGCAGCUGUAGCAAUUGCUUCUGGUAGAUCUCCUAACCUGCUUAUGCACUGAAAACCAUUCCUAAUGCUAUCAACGGGGCGAAUGACAUAGUUGAUGAAUCAUUGUUUUAGCCAUUUACUCGAAAUAUAUGUCUGUCUCGUGUGUUCUCAUCUUUGGGCCCAUUCUUAUUUGCUGUAUAUGACUACAUUCCAAUUUCUUUUAUGUUUUUGGUUACUUUUCUUUAGUUUACUAAUUGAUAUCAAAGAAUAUUGGUUGCUAAUUAAAACAGAAAAUCCGGAAAAGGCAACUGUAGCAAUCUUGAGUGCUUGUCCAAAAGAAUCAUUUUAUGAUAAGUUUUUGACAUAUAGAUUCACAUUUACUUUUAUUUCAGUCCUUGUAUAUAUAUAACUAUUGACAACAGGCACUAAUUUCUUUUACUGAAUGAAAAGGCUCUAAUUCGAAUUCUCUAGCAAUAAAAAUGAAGAAUAGGAGAGAUUCGAAUCUACAUGUGCUUUGAACCAUGAUUUUGGAUGUGGUGUUCUUCUCCAUCAUGUGCAGCUUGUCAUAUUGAACUUUUUUAGCAUGCAGUGAUCUUGAUGAUAAUUGACAUCUAAUGGCCCGUUGAACUCUUAAUAAGGAUGCAGUGACUUUUAUAAUAGUGAGUCACCUGUCAAAGUCUUAAUUUAUAUUGGAUGUGUUUUACUACUCUUGUAAUGAUGAUAUAUUCUCAACUGAUGAUUUAUCAAUUUUCUGCUUUCCUUUCUUUUUAUCCUUCUUUUAGAUUCCUUUAUGUGGUCCUUAGUGCUAUAUUUUGUUGUGGUUCAGAUGAGAGGAUAGCAUUAUUGGGUGCAAUUCAGUCCCUGUUUGAAGGUUCAAUGUAUACUUUUGUGUUUCUCUGGACUCCUGCUCUGAGUCCAAAUGAUGAAGAAAUUCCCCAUGGUUUUAUUUUUUCAACUUUCAUGUUGGCUUCAAUGUUGGGAAGCUCAUUUGCAUCUCGACUUAUGGCGCGUAACUCACCUAAAGUUGAGAUUUAUAUGCAGAUUGUCUUUGUGAUCUCUUCUGCCUCUCUGCUGCUACCUAUAAUGACAAAUGUAUGUGCCAGCUCGCUUUCUCCACUCUUUACCUAUCAAUUAUGGUUAUUAUCUAAUUUUCCUAAUUUUUUAACAGUUCUUGGUAGCCCCCUCGAAGGUAAAGGGUGGUGGUAUCUCAUUUUCUGGUUGUCUCCAAGUUCUUGGUUUCUGUACAUUUGAAGCUUGUGUUGGAAUUUUUUGGCCAUCAAUUAUGAAGAUGAGAUCUCAAUACAUUCCUGAGGAGGCACGCAGCACUAUAAUGAACUUCUUCCGCAUCCCCCUGAACAUCUUUGUUUGCAUUGUACUCUACAAUGUAAGUUACUGAUGCUUGGCAGAAAAUAAAAUUUUUUUUAUUAGAAUGCAUAGCCCUUUGGUUUACACAUUUCGCCAAAACAUGGUAAUUUCAAUCCCACUCUAAUGGGUAAUGCUGCACCAUUGCUUUGACACCAUGAACUUCUGGGUAUGCAGGAUCUUCUCAUCUUUAGUUCUGUAUGUUGAAAAACCCUUGUAUCAAUCAUGUACUUUCCUCUAUGCUAAGUGGAUUUUUGCAAUUUGAAGGUUGAUGCAUUCCCCAUCACUGUUAUGUUUGGCAUGUGCUCGAUCUUCCUGUUUGUGGCGUCCAUCUUACAGAGACGGCUGGCAGCAAUUGCGGACAAGCCAAGUAAGUAAAUUUUGCUGCCUGUAGACAUCACUCCUUGGUACAAGUUCAUGUAUUGAAAAUUGUUGGAACAGAGUUGACACAUCCACGUGUAGCAAUUUAGUUAAUGGUCUUGUAUAAUGUUACAUUGCCACAUGGUUACUCACCGGAAUAUUUGGUUGUAGAGGCAGAAGAUUGGACGCCAAUGAAAGAAAGAGACGCUGAAGCAGAGCCACUAAAUGCUCCUUGAUAUUAACGAGUCUUCACAAACAAAUGUUUUGUGAGGGUUCAUCCCAUGGCGGGCACACAUUUGAUUCAUUAGUAGCCUAUAAGAAAUCUAAAUUCACUCUUUCAGAAAUGCCUAAGGAGAGCAGAAGCUGAUGCCAAGAAGAAGUUUAAUGCCGCUAUAGCAAUUUUUGGAUACAGAUAGAACAAAGUUUUAACAUUCACAUACUCCUGAACUAUUGCUGUGGAGAUAUCUUGGUGUUUAUUUUUUUAAUUUUCAUGUUUUUGUCGAUAAGCAGAAAGUGAAAAAUGGUUGCCCCUUUCGUAAAUUUGACCUCAGUUUAAGGUUAUAUUGAGGCCGUAGAUUUGUAUUUGAUAUUUUAUAAUGUUCUUUUUGAUUAGCGACAAUUUGUAAGAACAACAUGCCAUUAAGCAUUCUUUGUAACAGCGGAUUACACGUUUAUUUUCCUCGGUAGCUGAGACGAGAGAAAAAAAUUCCAUGCAAGAAUCAAGCACUUUUUAGUACAUCAUACACCUUUAAGAAGGUCAUUAAUUAACACCAAAAAUCAAGCACGCUCAAAAGAGUCAUUGGAUGGGGCUCUUGUACAUUUCAAGAAGGCAAGAGGCAACCGAGCUAGCUCAGUUGGUCACAAGGGAGUAUAGGCAAGGUGUUUGAAAUUCUUUGCCUAUAUUUUCCGGCCAAGAUUUUUUGGUGCAUUUGCGGAGGAAGUUUAGUUUUUUCCAAAUUUUCAAUAGCUUAGUUGGAUCUAUCCCUUCCCCCCACCCCCUGGCGGGCGGGAGUAAUAUAGGAUUAGUUGUAAAAAUGUUGUACAAAAAAAAGAGAGAGAGGAGAAAGAGCAAGAGACACUGCAUACUCGAACAUGGUGCUGAGUAUGUCAUCUGCCGUUCAUUUGUAAGGUGGUAGCAACAAAUGCUUCAGUAAUUCAAAAGCCUGGAACAAUGAAAUAACCACUUGCGACUUUAUGCUAAAGGUGAUUCUACUUUUUACUGCCUGUGAAGGGUACGGCUAAUACAAGCAAUGCUUCACGUAGAUAUUACUGCUACAGUAUCUUCAAGGAAUCUUUUACGUUACUUCAUACGUAUAGCGCUGUUAUGAAGAAAGGGAUUGUAACUGGUCAGAUUGCAAAUUGAAUCAAAUGCAGGUUUGGAGGAGUUCUAACGGGUGUUAAGGAACCGAUGUGAACAUAAAUUAAUGUUUGGAGUUGUAGGAAACAAAAUCUCCAGCCAUAAGUAAUAUUAUUGCAAAAACCAUUGCUGAAGCACUGUAUAAUGUUCAAGUGUAAUUGCCCAUGAAAGAAUCAACAGAAUACAUUAUAUACAGUUGUGACUUGCAACAGUGCCGUUGAAAGAAGGUAUAAAAACAGCAGUGGCCUAAAAUAAUACCUUGCUUUUUCGGUAGUUCCGCGAGGACAAUAAGAUACAAUGCAACUGGCGUUCCAUUGAAAACUGACCCAUCAAAAGGAUGCUUUCACAGAUAAAAUAUGUGCAGUGUGUAAGCCUAAAAAAAAAACAAAAAAAAAAGGUUGGGAUGGUUUUAGGCGCCGUAGCCAUCCUAGGCCAGGGCAAGCUCUUGGAAUCACAAGUUGUUUGCUAAAUACUUACAAAUUACCCACCAAUGCAAUACUCAUAUCCACAAUGAAAUUUGAAGACAUGACCUUUAUAGAGGAAGUAGUCCGUCCUAACCAACUGAUCCGGUAUGCAUUGGCAGCAAAUUUCGUAUUACAACUUGCGCUUAUAUUCUGUAUUACAACAUAUGUUAUACACAAACACAACUGAGAAUUAUUCACAGAACUCUACUCCUUUUUGCAUGUACAGAAGCAGACUCCAAGUCCCCAAUGAAGAAUAGGAUCUUAUCUAAAAUACCUGAAGAUGGUUCCACCAUGUUAGAAAAUUCUUCUUCCCCAACAGUUGCAGGAGAAUGAAUGAUUUCCCCAGUUUUUGGUCUUCUAGAGCCUAAAUGCCGUUGAAUCUCGCCUUGGUGGACAAGGUAAUAAUCAUCUCCUUCUCUUAUGAUCUUUAGGCCCCUGAAAGUACUAAAGUCAGCUUAGUAAAACAGCAAAAAGGAUAUUUAAUUACUUUGUCACAAUAAAAAGCUUAAGGUCUUCAGCAAAACAGAUUGCUAAAUAUAUCAGGUCCUUAGUUAUGAGCCUCAAUUGAAUCUUCUUUAUCAAAUUCUUGAGACCAAACACUUGCGUGCAGAUAAAUAGUGGUCUACAGGGGAUUUUUUUUAUUGCUAUCACAAAAAAUAUCCAAGGGUUAUUUUCCAAUUUGGGAAAAAGAAAAGGACAAUAGCUUCAAGGAUAAUGAAUUUAAUAAAGCUAAGACACAGAAGAGGUUGCAAACAAACGCAUGCAUUUGCACUAGUGACAGGGCAGCAUUAGCAGGCAAAGGGACCAAACGUUCUUCAACCGAGGUAAGGCCAGGGUUAAUGUAAUAUACUUCCAACAUUAAUGUGUUGCUAUUUGAAUGAGUUGCUAUUUGAUUUCAACUUACAAUCCAACACGAUCACCUCGAUCUUGCACUGCAUACACAUCUUUCCACAAUUUUGAACCUUCAGGAGCAAAGAAUGUGGCAUGAUCUACUCCCCAUCUUUGCGUAAACAGGUUAGACCAUAAAGUGUCGUCUGAGGCUAAGAUUUUCCACUUCCUGCACACUUCAACAAUAAGAAGGCAUCUUUCUCCAUCAAAUUCAAUACAAGGAAACAGAAGAUGCAUAAUCCCAGCAUGUAAAUGGAAAAAUCCAGUUACACUAAAGCAGACAAUGGGCUUGCAAAGGUAUUUUAUGGCUAUGAAUGAUAUAAAUCAAAAUUCAAAGGUUGCCCUUCUCACAAAAUCAUUUUCUCUACCACUAUGGUGUUUUUUCCUGUCUGCAAGGGGUGGGUGCAUGAUGAAUACAAGAUCUCGUAUCCCCAGUUAAAAUUUGAGAACUGGAAAUUCGGGGGAGUUAGCAAAUAGACAUAACGAGCCAGUGCUUGGCAACAAUCUAAAGGAUCCUUACUCCUUAGAAGCUGAUUCUGUCGAAUCCUGAUUGACUCUUGCCCAUGUAUAUAUAAUGAUGGAGCAAUUUUGAUCGCUUCUCAAUUUCAAAACUAGUUGAGUAAUAGUAAGAAUGUUAGAGGCUCGAAACUGCAAAACAGUUAUCUGUUGGUUCGGUUCCCCUCAACUCAAACAGUGAUUUAUUGCCAAAAAGCUGCAGCAUUUCUUUGCUGAGAUGCAGGAGAACAGCCAAUCUUAGACAAAUUCAACAAUGGCAAAUUGGACUUCAGAGAGGUAGAAGUUUAAGUCCUGAUUAAGCGGAAGUUGAACUAUCCCAAAAUAAUCAAGAUUCUCAAAGCAGCCAAUAUAAUAAGGAAAUAAAGGACUGAACUCAGACAUUAACAUCGAUCAGAUGCUAAAAUGAAGGAAAAAAUUCAAAGACCAGCACUCGGUAAUCACCGUUCGGAGAAUGGAUCCCUAAUGUCACAAAACCUACAGGCACUCCGCGAAUUAUUAAUUAAUGGAGGAUAGUACUGUCUUGGGUAGAAUUUACAAAAGAAAUCGAGAUCGGAUCUUAACUAAAAAUUUAGCAAUCCAGAGCAACAUCAAGUACACUGAGAAUUCAAUCUGGGGGGAAAAAAAAGGUUUGGAGAAACCAGAAGAAAUAAAAGGAGUCAGUCGAUACUAACCCAAUUGAGCAGUUGCAAGAUUUUGAUGAUCUAACAAACUAAGAAUCUUGAGACAGACUUCGACAGGCAAUCUCUCCAUCGAGCGACAGAGAAACAAAAGUGGGAGACGAAGAAGACGGGAUGAGAUAUGAAGAUCACCCCAUCCCAUGUGCCGAUGUGACGAAUAAUCUCUUUGUUUCUUCUGCCAGCACUGCUUCAAAUUCUAAUUUACCCUUUUUUUGGGUAAUAAAUAAAUGACAAAUAUAUAUAUAUAUAUAUAUACACACACACUAGUAGUGCCCGUCUCAAAUUUAAACGGCGAGUCGCAGCAAGUGGAGGAGCAAAACUUUAUGAGGCACGUGUCUAUCACGUGUUCAGUACUUUUACCCCCAAGCCGUCUGUCUAAUGCUGUCAGAGCUUGGAGGCAUUCAACUGCAAUAAAAUCUCCCGUUGUUUUGUUUGUCACAAAGAUUUUUUUUUUUUUUUAAAAACAAAAUGUAAAAUUGGGCAUGCUCCAACUGCAAUAAAUGUUUUUUAUUACUUCGAAAUGCGGACCACAAUAAUAAGCGUAACAACCAACGUAUACUUUUUGUAAUUAUAAACCGGUAAGCCGGAGAGAUUGAUGUAGAUUAAUACGACUCGUUUUACUGCUACAGUACUACUACUGCCACCUGUAUUCUCUGGCUUCACAGAAAGUUGUCCAUUUGCAAAACUAAAAAUGACUAACCAAAUCUCUUCAUUGCCUUUGUCUGAUCCAGCAGAGCAUGGAUCCACCUGACAAAUGCACAAAUAGACUAUGUAUUCACCACCUGGCAAUAAAUGAUCCAGCAGAGCAUGGAGACACCGGGAUAUUCGGACGUCAGCGAAACCAAUUGCACAACACAAAUGGCAAAGGACAAGGGGCAGGAACGGUUGAGGCGGUUUUGUGCAUUUUGCACACCGCGUAAUUUUAUUUGCACAUAACGUAAUUUUAUUUGCAUAACGUAUAACUUUAGUAUAAAAUUUUAUGGAUCUCACACACAUUAUGAAAAUCAAGAUAUAAGAAAUAAUCUGGAUCGCACAUUUUUUUUUACCAAAAUCUGGCCGUAAACAGCUCAGGAGCGGUCCUUCUGAUUACCGCUCCUGCCCCUCAUCCAAUGACAAAUGUAGAUGAUGCAGACGCAAUUCUGUAGACAUUAAGCCAAUAACUGGCUGUACACACAUUAGAUAUAUAUAUGUAUAUAUAGACAUUAAGCCAAUAUCUGGCUGUAAAAUGGGUAUUCAUUCUAUUGCAAGACCUAUCACAAUUCCAAAUUUCUUCCAAGCUACUAAUGUUCACCGCACAAAAAUCACACAGAUAGAGAUCUCCACUAGAGUUGUUAAUCGAGCCGAGUAUUUGGCUGCCGAGUUCGACUCGAGUUUAAUUCGAGCCGAGCUCGACUCGAGCUCGUUAGGAAAACGAGCUUUAAAAUGUGUUCGAACUCAACUCGUUAAAUGUAUAUGUAGCUCGAGCUCGAGCUCGACUCGUUUAUUACAAACGAGUUGAGCUUCACGAGCUCGAACUCGAGCUCGUGCAAAUUAACCUUAAUAAAAACCUAUAAUUUUUAAUUUUUAUAAUUUUGAUUUCUAAAAUGACAAAUAUGCCCUUCAUUAACGAGUUCUAACGAGCUACUCGAGUAUCUACUCGGCUCGUUAACUAAACGAGCAUGUUUCGAGUUCGAGCUCGACUCGUUAACCAAAAUUAACGAGCCGAGCUCGAGCCUUAACGAGUCGAACUCUAACGAGCUUUCGAGCUACUCGAUUGACUUAACAGCUCUAAUCUCCACCAUCAAUUCUUUCCAAAAACUCUUCUCGAGACAUCUGUGCUACAUCGAAGUCUCAAGAAACUUGUGACAGAAAAAAGAUUCUUUUCAACCAGCUGGUGGGGGUCAAAAAUUUUUUUUAAAAAAAAUAAAUUUGUAGCCAAACAAAGCAAAACACAAGUAAAACGAUAGUGCGAACAAAAAGCUGCUCAGUAAUAAAUUGAGACUAUGAUUCAUUUGUUUUUCACUGUUGGUAUCUGCUAUGUAAGUAUAGAGACUCCUCUAUACACACAAAGGAAAACGUCACCGGACCCUUGAAUUCUUCAGCAAGAUGUAUAUGAAGAUAUCUUUUAACAACUCUAAAACCAAAUGUUCAUUAAAACAUCCAAAACAUCAUCAACCCGGUGCAGGAAGUAAUGACAAAGCGGAUGGGAUCAAUUCUCCUAACCUGUCUCUAAAGCUCAAUAUGGUGUUCAACAAAGGUUCACUAGAAUUGAUGCCCUCCCAAGAGGCUUCAUCAUCGUCUAGCAGUUGGAGCUGCUUUUCGAAAUAUCUUCUAAGACUAGCAUCCACAACAUUCACUAUACUAAAUGAUGCACUAGUGUGCAUGAAUUUUGUAACAAAAAACCCUGCCAGAAUCUGCUGGUCAGCUUUCACAAGCUCUGCUAGAAAACAUGGGAAAAGCAGUCUUGUGAAAACAAAAAUAAGGUUCAAGUUGCUUUUAUCUUCACUGGCUAUCAUAUAUUUGAGGCUUGACAACUGUGCCUCCUGCCACUGACGAGAGACAUUCCCAAACAUAUAGCAAAGACACGAGAAAGUGGCGCCAUAAGAAGAUUUGGUGAUGAUAGGUACUAUUAUUCCAGAUGAUAAUAAAAGAAGCAAGAAUUCAUAAUCUUUGCCAAAUUCAUCCGGGAUGCCUGUUUGUUUCAACUUUACCUCUACGGCUUCCAAGCACUGCAAUUGUACAGCUUCAUAUGGCAGUAACAACAUUAUCUUAAGAGCAAUAAAACAGUUCAAUUCAAGCAUAAUUUGACUUAGACAACGAGCAUCAUCUUCAUCAAGCAAAAUUUGCGUGGUAUUUCCUUUGUACUUAUCAGCCAAUCUCAGAAAUUCCUCGUACCUGGAAAGCCUUAUUAAUUUUUUGACGAUCUCCAGCCAACAUACAUGUAAAGGAUGAACCAAAAGAGUGCUGUUACUCUUCGACUCUUUCUCCCUAGAUUCUUCCAGAAAGCUUUCCCAUCCCUCAUCCCAAUCAUCAUUACUCCAACUAUUUCCAAUAUCAUCUACCUUAGGAGAAUCUUUUCUUCCAUACAUGAAAAGUUCCUCCCACACUCCCAACAUAGCUAUCAAAGUAUCAAUCUCGGAUUCAGACUUGGCAGAUUCAGACACUUUUACAAAGCAAGAAACAGCUGAUUCAGUAGUUAAUAAAUCUUCUGGUGCAAUUUCCAAGCUUGGCGAAAUAGCUGACAACAUCUGAGAUGAUUUAAGGGCAACUAAAGUAUUUGUAAAUCUGUUAGCUGUGUCUGCAACAUUUGACAUCCCACAAUCACUGGUCUUUUCAUGAUUUACACAUCCACUCUGGACAUUCUCCCACCCUUCCCAAGGAAUAACAUAGGUGUCUAGCUCAGAAGAGAACACUUUCAGCUCCUUAUCUGUAGCUCUAAUACACUGCAUAAGCUCCAGGAUAUAUACACGUGAGUGGCUAGGAAGCUGCAAGUUGUCAGAUACCUCUGCCAACUUUUUCCAAACAGAAUCCCUGACACAUUUCAAAUCCUCCAAGUUCCCUUCAAGUUUACUCAAAGAUGACAAGAAAGAGUGAAACUUUUGCUUUUCAAGAGAUCCACUAUCUAGGUCAAGCAAGAUCAUCUCCAGUAAACUUAUGUAAAGAUGGGGGAGAUCCUGGAUAUUGAUAUAACAUCUUCCAGUGCUUAAUGCCAAAGCCGACCCAGGCGAGAGUUGACUCAGUGCAUCGGUAAAUACAUAGGCAACAGCUAGAAACCUACAUCCUGAGAAAAGCAUUGCUCUGCAGAAAUUAAAAAUUUCAACUAUAGCAUCACCAUUAACUCCUGAGUUACUGAAACUAAUAAUGGUGCCCCAACCUUCAAUGGGAGAGACUUUCCCCUUUAAAAUCAAGUUAAUGAAUACUUUGAGACACGUCACUAAAGAUUCUGAACAGAAGCUUUCAUCUGAAUGCUCAAGAUAUUUAAGUUCCUGCAUGUCACUCAUCAUUUUAAGCCACAUAUUCAAUAGCUUGAGAAGACACUCCUGCCACAUUGAGUCAAAACGUUUACUUGACGGUUUCUCAAAAGGUACCAUUACUGCAACGAAUCGCAUCAUUAUGUCCAGUAUACCUGGAUAUUCAAUGAAUUUCACGUAUUUAAGGACAGCAUUAUAGGUUUGCUCAAGCUCACUCAGGAAGCAAUGAAAAUUUUCAGGGCUUUCACUAAGGCUAUCUGUUUUAAAUUGAGUUUCAAAGGUUGUCAACAAAUUCAGCACAUGGUGUCUGUAGACAUACUGCCAUGACAAAAGACCUUCAGGUAAUGAAUCUCCAUACAACCCGAUAAGGUUGCGGACCAUAUCUGCCAGCGCUUCAACAUUCUUUUCACUAAUGUGAGAAAAGACUUCAUCAUUGAAGCAAUCCCAGUUCAGAUCUGUCAAUCCAGCAAUUUUCUUGAAGUUGAGGCCACCAAUAAAGGAAACCCUGAAACAUUCUUGGCUUACAACCUUGCUGAAACGAGCUAAAUGGAUGGCAUCUAAGUGCAUUGGACUCUGGCCAAUAGUAGGAAGUGGUUCUUUUAGCUCUUCCAGCUGCAAGUAGCACUCAGCAAGUAGACCAUAUAUAUAAGCAAGCCGCUGCUUAUCAUGACCAUCAAUCAAAGGGUAGACAGACACAGUAAUGACUGUUAUGGUUUCCGCAGCAGAGGAAAUCACUUCAUUUCUGAAUUGUGAAAGAUCAGCCACAAUAUCAUCCACUGUCCAAGCCUCAGAAGUAAAAGUAGAACUUAUAUAGUGGAGUAGCACCUAAGAAUUAACAAAAAGAAAAGAAAUUUUGUAAAUUGAAAACGCAAAAUUCAGAAAACUUGAAAUUUAGAAAUACUAACAUACACUUUAAGAUUUCUCAUAUUAAAGACAUGAGGACUGAUAAUUAAUUUAAGCCUGAUGACUUUCACAGAUGAUCAUACCUUGGUCUGAUCCAAGCCAUAGGUAUGGGCUAAUUUUAUAACAUCUUCUAAUACAUGUUUCUUCUCCAGUUUUAUGGAUUCAAUAAAGGAAAAAACAACACUCUCCCUGUAGCUAGUGUCUCCAGACAAAAAACGAGCUGUUUCAACACCAGGAAUAAUCUGUUCCAAAACCCUUGAAUGAUCUGCCACACGCUUUUGGUCUUCUAAUUUUAGUUUCCACUCUCUCCAGAAUGCAGAUUGUGCCUUGUCUAAUUCAUCUCUUUCAUCUAAAUUCAACAAGUCAUGUGAGGAAAACAAAAAACAAAAUUAUUAACUUGCUUCUCCACUAUAUUGGGACCAACAAUAACUCAAAAGCAAAAGAAAUAUGAGCCUGUACUCUGGGACCAAUAUUUAGUAUUAAGCAAAGAAAGCUGGGUCAAAGAGAUCACCUGAUGCAACUGAUUUGUGUUUCUGUUGGAAUUCCCUAAGCAACAGCAUCCUCUUCUGAGCAGGCUCCUCACAUUCGCCUCUGCGGUUAUGUAAUAAACCAUAAAUCAACCCCACAUUCAUAAUGCUCAUAAUUUCGUUGUAACUUUCCCUUGCUUUCACAAAUCCUUCAAUAAUAUCCACACCAGAAAAGCCAUCCACCAGAUUUAAGAGAAAAGAGCAUCCCAUGAUGUCCUCCUCUUCAGUAACAGGAGGUUCCAUAAUUGAUUUAGCAAUGGAGAUGAUCAAAUUAUCUUUUGGAGCAAAACCGUUCCUUGCCAACCAAGAGAUAAUAGUUACAACAGCUUGUGUUCUAACACUUAUGUACUGCUUUCCUGAAACUGAGCCUGAUAUAUGUUUUUUAGUUGUUUCUGCUUUAGUACUCAGUUCAAGUAACCAAGGAAGGCGCAAAGCAGAAAAGGACAAAAUUUUCCCGUUUUCUCUAAGGAUAGAUUCCCAUUGAUAACCAUUCUCAAAAGGCAAAUUUUCUGCAACUAGAGAGAGCAAAUCUUUUACGGCAUCAAGAUGUCCUUGAUCACCAUAACCAAUAUUAUCAACCUUUCCUGAACAAGUUCCAAAAUCAACAGAACCUUGUGUACUAUAUAGUGGAUAUGAGAUGGCUAAAGUACCCUGAACUGCAGAUUCAGGAGGCUCACUCCCGGUCAGCAUCAUUAAAGUUUCACACUGUCCCAUCAUGUCAAGAUCUUUCCACCCAUUUAGCAGAUCACCAAUAGAUUCUUCAUCACAGUGGCUCAAAGAAAACCCUAAAAGAUGCUUUCGAGAAUUUACAUCCAUAUUAUCAAGGGCAGGACCUCUUGCAAGAGCAGCACAUAAGUCCCAGACAGAACCAUGACCCUUUUUAGCCAGAACACGACACAGAUCAAAAGCUAGUUGCAAAUCUCCAGCAACAGCAGCUUCUCUUGCAAUAGCUUCUUGUACGGAUGAUAUUUCAUCGUGUGAGCUCAAUCCAAGAAGUUUGGCAAUUUCAAUAAGUUCAUCAACAUUGAGAUAAGCUCCAUCUUGACUUGUAAUUGCCAACUUAAUUAUUUCCAAUGGAUCUUUCAUUUGUCUAAAUUGCAAUGGCAGGACAUUUACUCCCAGUUUUGGAAGUUUCAAGGUAAGGGCAUCAAUGAUAUCAGCUUCUACCCUGGCAUUUCUGCUACUAGGCAAGAUAUUAAGACAUUCCUUAGCCUUCCAUAUCUGAAAGAAAAUUCAGCAGGUUGUCAAUAAUUUAUUCUCUAUUGUCGCCAUUUGAAUAAAAAUAAUCUUCUUAAGAACAUUCCAACCGGAAAAAAGCCAUGCCAAUAGCCCCAUUGACAAGAUUCCAAUUAGCAAAGAUGAUUCAAGUAGCUAAAAUAGUUAAAAUAGAUCAGAUAUGUCAUAAGUGAGAAAAUAUACUUCUAAGUAAGCCAACAUAUUCUAAUAUUUCUUUCACUAUAACAAUCACACUUGAGACCAAAAGUAGCACGAGUCAUUUCUAAACUGCAGUUAUAUACUCCAGCAACAAUUCACUCAAACAAACCCUCAUCUUUGCUCCCCACCCCCAAAUUCACAUGAAACUCAGAUGUCUGAGAGAUGUGAGAGGAUUCCCAAGAAAAUUUUAGUACAGUACACCUGUGUCAUGUGUCAUGCCUAGAAUAAGUAAAUUUAUAGCUCUGAAGUUAAAUGUGUACUUGAAACCAGCCACCCCCAACUUAUACACCAUUAAAACAUCUAAAAAAUUAGAAUGUAUUAGACAUCAUUACAUUGUCUCAACUGGUAUUCAUGCAAACUAUCAAUAACUGCCUUGAGUUCAUUGCUUAAAAAUUGUCAGACAUUUCAGUCUGACGUAAAUAAUUUCCAUUUUGAAUGUCUUAUCCCAAAAAGUUAUAGAGUAAGCCCACAACACCAACAUGCCAUCAAUAGAUGGAAGAAGCUUGUCUUAUGCCACUGUUGUAAGACAUUGAUCACAGCUGGAAAACUUGUACAAACAGCAACCCACUUCAGACUCCCAACUUAAUGGAAGAGUACAGUACAACACAACUUAAACACUUACUUCUGGACAAUCAAGACUUGAUGCUGAGAAGAAAUACUCUCUUGCAGCUUGAAUGACCAGAGUUUCGGCCUUAUCUGCAGCCAAAACUACUGAACCUGUACUUUUUAAAUAGUUCCUUGCAAGUGGAAAUUUUCCAGCUUUAAGCAAUCCCCUACAGAACUCUAUCAACAUGUACUCCAAAUCAAGGAAGGGAAAAGCUUUUUCUUGCAAACACUGCAAAUCACGCCACAUGUUAGCCCAGUCAUUAUCUGAUCGACCCAUCUGCCUCCGAAUAAAUUUGGAGAGUAUAAGACGAAGUGUCUGUUUUACACCUUUUUCAUCUGUAUGUGGCUCCCUAAAAUAGUUAAUAGGCUUUGGCACCUGAAGACCAAUACGAGAAUAAGAUGAUAAACACAUGAAUAACAACAUUUGAAUAAAAUGAUACCCAGUAGGGCAUCUCCAACUGCAACAUUGCAAUCAAUGCUUCUAACUACGAAUGCUUUUACAUCAGAAUGUAGCUUGAAAGAAAUAUAAAAGCCAGACAAGAAAACACAGGACUCAGCUAUUAGAUGUGACUUAUACUCAAUUUCACAAUGCAUACAGUCGUUUCCCCAUGUCCCAAUUGAAUGUCUUGCCUUUUUGGUCUUUUUCAACACAAUGUCUGCUUUCCAAAAUGGAGAAGUUCAAAUGCUUCUCUUCUUCUGUAUUUUAUACAUCAAAAGAGACAGCAGCCUCAUAUUUCCCCACUAUCUUUUAAAUUUGAGUUUGAUUAAUAUGUGGGUCAAUAUAUUCCUUACUUUCUAGUAAAACUAUCAUAUUUUUUAACUCACAUUCCAAAUUUCCAAACUGAGGCAUCCAAUUCCACAUGGCAAUAGUAGAAUAAAAUUGACAUCUCAGAAAGCUUUCGAAAUUCUAAUGGUAGAAAAGUCUGUUAUAUUUUGAAUAAAAAAUUGUAGAUACUCUGUCCAAGCCUGCUAGUCUUUGAAGGUACUAAAAGCAACAUUUUCGCUAAAUCAAUGUCACCCUCACCAGGAGACAAACUGAUAAGAACCAAUAUCAAAGAACAAUGACCUAAUUGAAAAACUUCUUUUCUGUACGAAAUCCGUCCUAAACAAUGGCUGGCAGAGGCAGAAGACCCGACAAUAAUUUUGUUAUACUCCUCUUACAAACUCCAAGGAUCCAAAAGCAGGUUUACAUGGUUAAGACAGUAAUGAGAUACUCCUUAACAUCCAUUUCUCUUUGUUAUACAUCAGACUACAAGACUAAGAACAGAAAAGAAAUUCCAGGAAAUUUAAUGGAAUCACAAUUUUUUGUUUAAAAGGUACUCAGAUCCAUGAAUUGAAUAAAAUUGAAACAUAAACUGAAGAUUGAAACACAAGACCAACUAGGAAAGCCCAAAGGAGCACUAAAGCAGACAGUGCUGCAAGUCUGCAUCUCAGGUCAUAAAUAUGAGUACAGAAAGCAGACCAAAACAUAAGCCAAUUAAUGCUCAAAUCAAAACAGUCAAAACUACUAAAAUUGGAAACAUGCCAGACCAAUAACCAUGGUAAUCGCCAAAGUCCAUCCAGCUGAAACCAAAACAGCCAAAACUAUUUAAGAAAAGCAACAUGUGAGGUCCAUAAACCUGGUAAAUUGCCAAAAUCCUCCCUGCUUCAACGUGGCCUUCAGUGACUUUCAAUCUUGUCUUGAGGUCCUCAUUUCCAUAACCUGUAACAUCCAAUUGCAUUAUCUUUGGAGACAUUACAUUGAACAAUAAUUAUGGUCAGACUUGAGCAAUUUGAUGCACAGAACUUAUUUAGCAAGUUGCAAUUUAUUAUAACCAAAAUGAAUUUUGCAGUCAAUAACCAAUAGACCCUCAACAAGUACAACUUAUUUAUUUGUUAAAACUGCUAAAGAGCACUUCCUUAUUGUUAAAAAUAUACUAUAGAAGCCCUUCUAAACUCCUCAUCCCAUUUGAAUGUAAUUUCAGACCUUGCCCCAGCCGGGGAAGAAAAUGUAUUUUUGUCUAUCAUACUUGAAAGCCAUAGCCAAGCUACACAAAGAAAUAACUUCCUGUUUUGUUUAACCUAUUCAUGGUUAAGGUCUGCAUACUCUGCUAUCAGGUAUGAAACUGAUAACCUAAGUAAAACAUCAUCAUCAAUCCAGCUACUCUGCUAACCAUUUUCCACUUCAAAUUAGUGAGUUGGAACCCUGUAAUUUCAAGAAUACAAACCUCGUAAAUGUUGAAGUUUAGAUAAAAUUGAGGACAUUGUACUCCAUCUAUCUGUUGAAGAGCACAAAUACAUGCACUGCAGAGCACAAUCCACCACCUGGGCCUCAUCUUUGAAAAAGUAACUAUUUUCCAGAUCCGUGCACCCUUCUUCAAAUACUAUCAAACAUAUCCCUAGUUUAUUUUCCAAAGAAAUCUCUUUUAGCCAUCUAACCAGAAAUGAGUCAGCUGUAUUAUCCAUAGUACAUUGGCUACCAGUCAGCUCAUUUGUAGAAUCAGCAGCUAUAUGAUAAUCCCUCUUUUGCAUGAAUGGGAUUGCAAUAUUCUUUAGUCUUCCAAUUACGUCUUCCUCUGUCACUCCCAUGAGCAGCAAUCUGAAUUUUUCAUAGUCAGAUAACUUCUCCCAAGCAAUAAGACUAAGAAAAAAAUUUCUUUUCCCUUCAUUUUCAUCAGAAUAAAUAAGCUGGCGCAGGAAAGAGAUGUCCUCAUAGAAAUGCUGCAACUCUGAGAUCCCCUUUUGAUAACCAAAGUCAACCAAGCACAUGCAGUUUUCAAGCUGUCCACUUAAGGUAUCAAUAUCUCUGGCUCUAUUUUUGUACCAGCUAGAAAGAUCAGCAGUUGAUGGCCAUUGAAAUCCCAUGUAUCUCUUGACAAUUGGUUCAGUUCUAAUAAGAACCCUGCUACCAUGGUCCUCAGGUAGACUGUUUAUAAAUGAGACCAUCUUAUCACAUUCAACCCAAUCUUCCUCCCUCAGAGCAAUACUUGCAGGAGGGGAAUUCCCAGGAAGGAGCUGUGCAUAACUCUGAACUGGAACUGUCUCAGGAAUAGCAGCAAGAACCUCCAAUAUGUAAGGACCGAGCGAAAAUGGAUGUCGUUUGAAAAGAAGGUUUAACGCUCCAAUCUUCCCUGUCUCUGCAAGGGCUACAGCAGCGUCAUUAAUUGGUAAAUUACGAAAUUUAUUGUACUCUUGAGCCGAGAACCUGCAAAAUGGUUUAGUUAAGGGCAUAGUCAUUGGGAACUAUUUUAGCAUCCUACAACUGCAAGACAAAACAAUGCUAGGAAGAUUACAAGACCACCAGAUUCAAAAGUUCAUAAACUGAUAUUGUGAAACCCAAAAAAAACUGCAGGCUACCAUAUAAUAUGCUAAUAUAAACGACACAAGAUUUUCGAGCCUGAAUGUUCUCCCCUACUUGGUUGUCAGGACAAAUAUCGCCCUCCAGAAAUCCAGUCCAAAGUCUGCUUAAGUUCAGCAAUUCAAUCCUAAACACUUGUGCCCAUACUACCCAAUAGUCUGUUCAGGUGAUCAAAAUUCUGCAUAUAACAUUGUCUCAGAAUUACAUUCCCUGAAUUCUUUAUGCAGAGAAUAAGCCAGAAUCACUUGCAACACUGCCUUGGUUCAAAAACUUAAAUUCCCUCUUCUCCUUACUAUUUCAUUCUUUUUGUGGUCGAGUUUUGGGAAGGAUUUCAGGGGUUUGUGUAGGAGAUGGAUGUUUAUUCCCCAGUGAGUUCAUCAGCCAGCUCAUACUAUAAACAAAUCAUUGAAGGUUGUGAUGUUUGAAAGCAAUCAGGGAAGGAGAAUGGUAGGAAAAAAUUCCUCACUCUAAGCAGUGCUCUCCGAGAUGUCAAGGAUCACGAAAUUGCUUAAAGAAAACAUAAAAACAUAUUGCUGCCCAAAUAUACAAAAUAACAUAAGAUAAAGCUUUAGUACUUGUCCUUAAACAAGAGAAAACUUAUAUUUAUGUAUACAUACAUAAGUAUAUAUAUGUAGGAAGAAACAAAACUUAUAUUUCUUUAAACAGUGAAAAUUAAAAUAUUAUUACCUUCCCAUGUUUAUCCCAAGAAAUGUUUCCAGCCGGUCUCUAAACAAAAGCAACUUUAAUCUUGCCAUACGGAAGUCCCAAACUUGGCUGCUCUCAUCUUCUUGUGAUUUAGAAAACCUGUAAUUCUCUGUUAGGUGGAGUCCAUAAGCCAGUAAAGCCUUCUCUGCAUCUUCUGUUGGUCCUACACAAUCUACACAUUCAGACAGGACAAAAACAUGGUCCUUGAUAGUUGACAGCAAUUUAUUUAUCUCGUUUACUCCUUGACUAGAAGACAUCCAUUGUGACUUCAACAGUUCAUCUUUAUCCAACCCAUGAUGAUGAGCAAAGCUAAGAGCAACUUGAUAGUCUUGUUUACGUAUUAGCAAGUCAUACAUUUCAGAAACAGAUCUUUCUGAAAGUGAAAAUAAAUUCCACUGCAGUUUAGCACAUUCCAGCUGCUCAAUAAGACGCAAGUCUGUUGUUCUUUUUUCUUCAGAUGAUUUAUAGCUUUGCCCAGAUGUACUCUCCAAAAGAAAAAGGCAUCCAGACAACUUCUCCACUGUUUCCAUGAUAGGCAUUGAGUAAACAGGAUCUUUCUCCAACAAUUUAACACCAGUAGGGACAUCAAACAUCGUAAUAGUGCCAUCCCUUUUCGCAACAGCAAGUACAUCAUCAGACCACCAAGUAAAGUCAACUAUAUCAUUCAGAAAAUCCAUGCCUCCACCAGACAAGUCAUUUUUCAUUUGCAGAUCAUGCCUCUUUGUAUUGUAAAGAUUUGAUAGGCUCCACUGCUUUUGAUGAAACUUAAAAAUAAGCAAGCAACCCCUAGCAUCAAGAGUGCCAACAAAAUUUCCCUCAGGUGAGAUGAGCACCUUCGGAGAAAUCAACUGAUCUACACCUUUUGCUUCAGCAUAUAAACCUUCAAAAUCAAUGGAUACCACGAGCUCCAAAUCUGAGCUGCUACUUCUUUGCCAAAGAGAUAGACUAGGUGAUCCUGAGGAAAUUGUCAAACACUAAAUAUCAUAGAAGAUUUUUUAGAAUAAAUAUUAAAAAAAAAUUACAUCAAGGAAGAGUUAAUUAUUUCUGAAACAUGGACUAUCCAGGGAGAUAAUUGGCUAUUUAGCAAAACAGAAUGCCUCUAUUAAGUAUAUUUUGUUGAUAAUAGACUUCUGAAAAAAAAAAAUCUUUCCCCUGACUUAAUUAAAGUAGAUGGAUUCCAAAUAAUGCAAUAAAUUACAACUUUCCAAACUUACAGUAUCUUAGUAAACAACAGAAUGUAGGAAUGUUUUACACUAGAAGACUGCCAAAUGACUAGAAACAAGUGAAGAACUAAAGUUUUGUACAAUUUAUCCUCAUGCAAAAUCCACUUUUUAAGAAUAACAGGCUAACUCUGACCUUUAUGCCUCUUUUUACAAGAUGUUUCAAGUAAUCAGUCUGAUAAAAAAAAAUAGUUCAUAGAUGAAACUAUUGUCUAUUGCACUCGCUAUUUCAAUUUAUAUAACUAAAGUUGUUAAAAGAGAGGUUCACAGCAACAAUCAGUAAUCACAUGCUAUAGGCAGUAACUCAGAGGACUUAUUUGCCAAUUAUUUGUAUAUAGGCUAACCACAAAAGAAGAUUGAGAACAAAAGUAACAAAAUUCACAAAAGAAGAAAGUUACUACAUCUUUGUUCUUCAAAUUAACUAAACUCAUUCUUAGACCAUAUUUCCAAUUCAGAGGUACAGCCUUUAGGGGUGCACUGUCAACUAGUUAGAGUUUCUUUUAUCCAACAUUCUACCAACACAAAUACUUUGAGAUCUAUUCAACUCCAAAAUUUUACUAACCUGGAUGUCCUGACGUAUUGGAAAUGGCAACACCACUGGCACUACUGAUUGUAGCAAACAAAGACAACUUUGGAUGGUGAUGCAUACAGAAAACAUUCUUUGGGAAUUGUUUCUUCAGCAUUACUCCAGUACGUGCAAGAGGAGCUGCAGACAUGGAGGCACUUAGAUCCUGACUAAUUUCUAAAUCGUGGAGUGAACCAUCUGAUGUAAGAAUGCUAAAGGUACACCUGUAAAAAAUGUUAGCAACUAAGAGACCGACAAUUGAAAUAGGAAAAUAUGGAAAAAGCAAUUAGCAGGGAGAAGGAACCUCAAAUCAAACAUAGAGCUUACAAGCAUGCUUUGUUCACAUCAUUGUCAUCCUGCAAAAUCAAGCACAAUAUUGGUAGGGAGACUUUAAGAUGCUUCCCGGUGAUUCUGGUAAUUUCUUCUCCAUUAGCUUUAAUGAAAUAUAGAGUAUUAGUGUCAUCAAAAACUCCAAGGACUUCAUGAGCUUCUGACCAUGUACCACAUGUGAAGGCACUGAUGUUUCCACCUAGUAGAUAAAAACAAGCAAGAAGCACUGUUAAGCUUAUGGAAACGCAUGAAUAUCAGAGCCCAACCAUCAAGACUGGAUUAACAUGUUUAUUUUUCACGUUUUGAAUCAAUGAUAGCACCCCUCAAAUUUCUAUAACUUAUUGGUAAAAAAGGAAAUACAACAUCAACAUUAGCUCCCAUCAUGCGAGAGCCCUAAAAGAUGAAAGCAAUAAACAACUACAGAGAUGCCAUUACACACCAAAUAAUGGUCUAAUUAUAAUCUUGUGGCAUUAGAACAAACAGUUCACCCUGGUUGUAGAUAGAAGAUCCUCCCAAAUUCUACAAACUCAUUGUAACAUACAUUAUUUGAUAAUUUUCCAAGAUUGGCUAACUCACUGGUAAAAGUGCCACUUGGUUGUUGAUAGUCAUCAUCUUUCUGCAAGAACGUUAUCUGAUUCCUGAAAGCUACAGCCACUCGAUCAGCAUGGGGAGAGAUGAACAAAGCUGCAUGCUUACCCACCUUUUUUGGAUUCCUAUAUUCUGUCCAUCUCUCCUUCAUUUGGGUGAUGCCUUCAUGGUUGAGGAAGUUUCAGAACAAACAUCAGCAAGCAAAGAAAUUCAGAGAGAGAGAGAGAGAGAAGCAUGUGUGUGCAUAUAUAGUUCCAGGAGAGAAUGACAUAUGAACACUAGAAAAUCAAGUUGAAGCAAAAUGUUAUAUAGCUUUGAAAUGGAACAAGGAACAGCUGAAUGACUUUGAAGUCCAAGACUAUUUUGAUUUCCAAAUGUCACUGCCUGCGUUAUCAAAUUAAUCGAUCAAUAAUCAGCCACAGAGUCCCUCAAGCCUAAAUUACUUAAAUUAUAUAAUAUUUCCAAGCCGAAUUUGCAAUUGCCUAGCACAAGUACAUUAAACAUGCAGAAGACUGAAUGCAAGCUGAAAAUAUGCAAACUGAAAAUGGUAUAGCUUUUGCGUAUUCACAAGUUUGGAUUCAACCCUAAUAAAGGUCCAGUAUCACGUAUUUAUGAGUACUAGUUGUACAACUUACACCUAUAUUUGAACAUCACGAACUCAAGCAUCUGAUACAACUAGUGAGUUACCAUUAACAGUCAGCAUUAGAAGUACCUCGCAACGAAAAGUAGGAGAGUAAAGUCCUUCCGCGGCCAUCGUCCACCUAAAUUGGUCAUAAAAAAUAAGCAAUCAGGAUAUGCAAAUUUCUGGCGAAAAAAGGACAUAGCCAAGAAAAUGCAGAGUGAACCUGUUGACCCGUCGGAGGGUAAUUGGAGUAAGUUCCUGAAGCGUGACGCCGUACUUCAAACAGAACUUCUCUCACGCCUCCGCCCAUGGAUGGAUUCCAAUUAUGUGUAGCGUCAAUUUCCAUUUCCAAGUUGCCGCCGGUGGGAUACUAGAUGCUUAUAAAUCCCUCGCCAGGUUUCUCAAAAUCUCGUCCCCUGAGAAACCAUGGAAAGCGGACCAAAUCCUUGCGGAUCAACUGUCUCGAAAAUAAAUCGGUUCGGUUCGGUUCCUCUGUUCUAAGCCGAAAAGGUCGCCGGUUUAGACUUUCGGCUGAAAGUAAGUUAGUUAUUAUUUAUUAAUAAGGGUUUGCUUAACGGUGUUAAGGUUUAUUGAAAAAGUGAAGUUUAAUUAGGUGGCAAGCGCUUUAUUGCAAGGAGUAAUAAAAUGCGGGUCCGCAUUUAAAUAAUAAUUAAUACUAAUUUAUAUGUAAAUCAUGUGCUAACCAAUACGUGUUUGUAUUUAUUCCAACCCGUAAAAAAAAUGACCCAAGAAAACAGCAAUUAAUGACGCUAUCCUUUUUCUUCCUUUUAUUUAUUUUUCCUUAAAACCUGGUUCAACUUCCUCUACUACCAGCGAAGAUACUUGCUCUGACGUAAAAAAAAAAAAAAGAAAAUUAGGUUAAGAAUAUAUGGAGUAACUUUUCUUUAACAAAAGAAUAUGGGAUAAUUUUACUAACCUUCAUUGAUGUUUUUAGCAAGUGUGGGAAGCUUCUCUCAAGUUUAAGAAUUACAUCUACCUCUUUUGCUUUUCACUGUUUGUGUGAAAAUUUAAGUACUUAAAUUUUCUCUCGAAAAUUCCAGAAUACCCUUUCGUAAUAAAAGAACAAAAUAGUUUAUCGUGCAUCUUCUUCAACCUCUACACAGACCUAAUAUUCUGUAGUAAGAACUAGCCAAGCACACUCCAAACUGUAAUCGCUAAUCCAAGCAAUGCCGGCAGCCCAAGAAAUGCUGAUCAUUACUUGUUUCAGCGCUUGCCUAAAGCCUCGUCUGUGCUCAAAUGCUUGCCCCAAAAAAAAAUUUCAUUGACACUCAAUCACAAUCCAAAUAUAACCUCCAGGGCUUGACAAUUCUCAAACAUAAAACAAUCUAGCUUUACACCACCAUUACCAAUAUUGAAGCAAUGUCCCUAUAUUUCCAAGAAUAUUAUCAUCAUAGAAACAUAGAACAAAUUCCACCUCCAUUGCAAAACCACAACUAAAAAUUGCUAAUGCAAGGAAACAAAUCCAAAUACAACAAAAAAUUUUAGUCAAAACAAUGCAAAUUAACCACCUUUGUUCCUCAUGAUAAUAUCAGAAACAUCCCUUGAGGUUUCUCCAAGUAUUACUUGACACCUUUGAGGUUUUAAAAAUAUCAUUUACCUCCCUCAGUAAUUGUAAAAAGACCAUAUUAACCCUCACUUGACACAUAAUUCACAUAUCGAAUAAAUGGAGUUUAAAAAUAAAAAAAAAACUAAAUGAAAGUCACUUUCUUCUCUUUCUCUUUUCUCGAUCAUUCUCUCUUACUCUUUUUUGGAUGACUAUGCAAUAUUUUAUUUAUAAAUUAUAAUAAAUUGAAUUUUGUUUAUCUUUUAUUUUUGUGAUUGUGAUAAAGUGGGAAAUGAUUUAUUUGCUUAUUUUGACUUAAUUUUUAUAAUUAUUGGUACAAUUUAAUGGUUUGGGCAAGCGGUUGAGAAGGUGUUGGAAAAAAUAUAUAAAAUUUAUAAGAAAUUGAUUUUGAACAUAUAGAGUUAAAUUGGUGCAAGUAUAUUUCUUUUCAAACAUCUUUUUUUUUAUUUUUAAAAUUUAUAUUUUUACGGGGUAUAGUAUUAUGAUGUGGUAGUACUACAAGAAAUUACUUUUUAGGUGAUACUUUUCUUGAAGUGAACAAAAUAGUUUACAAAUAUUUUUAUUUGGCAAGUAAAAGCGUAGUUUAGGAUUUUUAAAAAAUGUUACACAAAUAACAAAAAUAAGGGAGGUAAGUGAUAUUUUUAAAACCUUAGGAUGCUAGGUGAUAUUAAGAGAAACCUCAAGGGAGGUUUCUAAUAUUAUCCCUUAUUCCUCUUUCUUGUUCAAUUAUGAAUAUGAUGAUCUAUUUCUCAAAAUUACGAGGCUUUUUCUCUUCAUCUAACUUGACAAUGAUAUUUGCUCCUCAUCUAAACUUGUAAUUUGACAAUUUCAACUUGCUAUAUCUAUAGAUUCUAAACUUAAAAAGUGAUAGGAUUUAGUAGUAUAGUGAUUAAGAAAAAGAGGAGGAACAAUAGUAGACAACAACCAUAGAGAAGAUUAGUGGUUAUAGUGAAAGGCAAUUGUUGAUUGGAGUAGAGCUAUGGAAAGAUAAAGUGAAAAUGUAAGAAGAGAAGAUAAAUAAGAAAUUGGGUAUUCGUUAAGAGUUGGAGAGAAUAACGUUUUUGGUUGGGAAUUAUAGAGGCGGGGUUUCAUUUUUUAAAAUUUUAUUUUUGGUUUUAUAUAUCCCUAUAGAUUAUUUAUUAAGUGAAGGACAUUAUAUAAUUUAUUGCUCUUGGAGAAGUCAGUGUAAUUAUUUAAGCUUGAGGAGAAUUAAGUGAAAUUGUUAAAAAUCUAAAGAAAGGUUUCUGAAAUUAUCAUAUGAGAAUAUUUAUUGAUGUUGAUUAACAUUUGGACCCCACAUUUUGUUUAUGCCUACUAUUAGACCCCUUAAACGACACCCCUUUGGACUAAAAAGUCCAAAAGUGGAGUGCAACUGAUGCUCGAGACGUCCCCUCGCGGCAAAGGUUAACAAACAAGACUAUGAGAGUCACUAAUGGAUAAAGCUUAUGUUUAGUAACGGUAAAGGUCAACAAAUAAUGAUGGGGCAAAGUGACGAUAAAAAAGUAUCAAGGGGCAAAGUACAACUUAUACCUAAUUAACUGCAUGGGAUUUAGUGCGAUUAACACUAUAAAGAAUGAUGAAUGCAUGAGAGGCUAUAGGCGCCUUUGAAUUCCCAAAACUAGAAAAAAACAAGAGGAAAUCACUGAGUUUUGGCUCAAUGAUCACCAAAAAAGAACUUAAUACGAUCUCCGUUGCAUAAGAAACUCGUGAUUAACAAGCCCGGAUUGUGAUGGUGAUAUUCAAGUUUGGCAGCGGAAAACCUACAACCCAAUCUAACCCCCGAGGUGUGAACUUCUUGGUAUUAUCUCAACCCACAACCCAACGAGUUAACGAACCAAGGUUUUAGUAAAAUGGCUCCACAAUCAAGUGCGAUUCUUAAUUGAUAAGCCAAAGUUGAACACUCAAGAGAACCUCUAAAGUAUUCAAAAGGAGCUCACGAAAAAUCAAGAGAGAAUCUCUCAAUUUUUGCUGGAAAAUUCGAUUAAUUAUUCUGGAAAAACGUUUUAACUCUUUUAUAGAAUUUACAAAACACGAAACCAACUCCAACUAGGAAACUAACUUGACUUUCUUGGGCCUAAUGGAAACUGUUAGGUUGGCCGUGCUUAAUGACUCUAAAAAUGACAUGAAAAUGACUCAAAGUAGCAACUAAAUGAUUCGGUCUAUCCUCAAGACUAAACUAGGCGAAUUACAUCAAUUUUAACCUACUUAAGCAACUACUAAACAAAUGACUAAACAACGAAUCUAAGAGCUAGUUUGCUGGACCACUUGAAGCAAUGUAACAAUUGAUUGUUCUUCUUGAUUAAGAUUUUCAACCACUUUAGAACCUUCAAUUGAUUCACGAACAACAUGAACUAAUGUAUUGAGUUGUUCUUUAAAUUUCUUAACACGAGCUCUAGUAAUCGGUCCAACUGGAACAAUAACUUGAUCAUUACUCGAACCACGAACUUGAUCAUCAACGCCUUCAAUCUCGUUGCUAUCAGGACUAAAACCCUUUUUGAACUGUAGAUCAAGAAUUCAAAUCGUACAUGUUUUGAAAAAAAUUCAAAAGAAGUGUCAGAACAUUUUUUUAAUCCCUAUAGAAUAAGAUAGAUUAUAUUAUAUGCAAAAAAUAUUAAAAGAAAAAACAAGAAGGGAAAAAAAAAGGGGAAAGAUUCUAUCAACUCUCGGACAAGGUAUCCACCGCUAGCUAGCUAGGCUACAAUUGCCUACCCUAUGAGGCCUGGAAAGGUUAGUUUCCUAUACUACUAGUAGUAAAAUAUGUCUACAGACGAAAAAGAAAAGGAAAAAGGGUUUGCUGAAAUUGAAGCAGACGAUGACCACCGAAUUUAACAAAUGUACAAUUUGUUCAUCAUUGAGACAAACUUUUGUGCCCACUGCUUUCAGAUUAGGUAUUCUCUUUUCUCAAUUAAAAAAAAAAAAAAAACUCAAAAAAGGAAGACCCCUCCACUUCCUUUGAAAAUCAAAAGUACCAAAAUAUAACUUCGCGGCGUGAAGGUUAGUUGCCUGCACAUUUGCUAGUACUAAUCAAGGUUUGUAAAAUCGGGAUCCUACGUAGGAUCGAUUUUAGUUUCACAGGAUCGGAUCGUAGGAUCGGAUCGUAGAAUCGUAAGAUCCUACCAAAAGCUCUUAAUUGCAAUUAAAUGUUGCAAUUCUUUGAUAAAUUACAAAUAUACCACAAAUAUUUUCAUUUAUUGGCAAAAUGGAGCUUCGUAUUUCACAAAUUUACAAAAAAAUUGUAGGAUCGUACGAUCCUGCGAUCCUACGAUCCUGCACGAUCCUGCUACGAUUCUAUGCGAUCCUGCAAAAAAUUAAUAUGAUUUGCGACUCUGCAUAAGAUCCGGAUCGCGAUUUUGACAACUAUGGUACUAAUACGUACCUAGCUAGCUAGCGUCUCAAGUAGGAACCCAAUUAGUUGGAUUCGCUUUUUGCACCAUUAAGGGUGGAAAUUAGCUAGCUUUCUGCGCAAAUCUGUCUUGAUCUGAAUCACCACUGUAAUCAAUCAAUGAAAAGAGUUAAAACGCUUAUUGCCAAUUUCUAGUAUUGCAAAUUGUUGAUGAUGAAAUGGUAAAGGUGUCGUCGAUUUGUUAGGUCACGCAUGUUUCCGGUCAAAGAGUGAUUAGCCUAUGUUGUUGUUCCUGAAUGAAUUAAUUUGACCAUGAAAUAUUAAUAUAGUACUACAAAAUGUUACACGACAAAGACAUGGCAACAAAUCCGUACAAAAAUCACGUGCGAUUUUUCAAAGUAUCCUCCACUAUGCUCGAUUUUUUUUUUUUUUUUUUAUAAACAAAAAAAAACUGGAAAGGACCGUUAGUGGAUUCUUAGUCUUAGUAUCAUGAUAAUUUGUUAUUUCUUAGCCUAAUUGACUGGGAAAUGAUAAUUUGUUCUCUAUAGACGACUGAUUGACCAGGCGCAGGAAUUGCUUUCUCAUCUCUUAUAGUCAGUCCUUGGCUGUGGGAGCCAUUUCACUGCCGGACAAUUGUUUCAGACAUAUCAAAGUUAAGGAAGGUGGUUGAGCAUAUACGGCAAAUGGUCACUGUCUGGCAUUAUAAAAAGAGGCGAGGCAGCACUCUUCUUGAUCAUCUUCAAGAAGUAAAGACUCUUUCUGCCGCAGGGGGAGAAAGUGAGCCAAAUUAAGGGAGAAGCAGACAUGGCGUGAUACUGGUUGCGGCUCAUAACAUUCUGUCGUAGAGCAGAGCAGAACAGCUUGAAGAUGAGCCGAACCAAUAUCACUCUUGUAUGCUUCCCCGUUCAAUAAUUAACGUGUUCCGUCUAUAAAUUCUUUCUCAUUGAUCAAGGCCAUCUGGAAGUACGUGAUCUAUAAAGCCUUCACCUUUCUUCUUCUUCUUCUUCUUCUUCAUUUUUAAAUCCUAACAAUAUUGCUGUAUAGUAAUUUGCAGGUUUCCGGCCGGUGCUGCAGAGAACAAGAAAACGUUUCGAGCCAUUAAGUGCGCGCCUCACUUUGUGGUUUCUUUUGCUUGAUCUUGCCAUCACUAAUUCUCUCCGCAGGGACUUGAUUUCCAGUAACCAAACUUUUGUUGGAGCGUAUUUCGAUUUGGAACAGUUAGAUAAAUGACUGAUAUUGCAUCAUACAUAACCGAUUAUAAUUUAUAUCCAUCCAUCAUUUCAACAGGGUUUAGGUCAUUUUUGGGCACCAUUUUUACGGGUCAGAAUUUAAUUACCAAGGGCUAUUUUCUACUUUAUUUAUUCCCUCAGUAACUCCAAAAACAGAUACCAAUAUCCAACUUCACCGGCCCGUAACAUAUAUUAUCUGCUUGAAUGAUUAUGAUGAUAUAUGCUACCGGUCGAUGUAACAUUAAUUACGGGUCGAUGUAUCGAGUACUCGCCAAAGCCACGCACAGACUUUCUUCACGCAUCUAAGUUUUGUGCUCAUGACCAAAAGAUAGCGAGGUUUUGCAGUUUCAGCAGUCCUUACAAACGAUUAAUAUUUUGUUUGUGCAUUCCCAGCCUUUAUUUGACUUUAAAUCUACCGCGACAAGCUAACUACGGCUUGAGUAGUAGCAGUAGCCUGCUGUGUCUUUGCUAAGUUUACGGGAAGGAGGGCGGAGGAACGAUUGCUUAGUAUACAAGCAAAUCAAGUUAAUUACAAGCAAAUUAAGGCAAGAAGAUCUCUGCUGAGGUUACAGAAUAUCCCAUAAAUUAAAGGGAUCGGGAGUUCAAAUUCCCCUACUUCCUUCGUGUUUCUUUUAAGUCCCAUCCCUUCUGUUUGCUAAGAAAAAAGAUAUGUAUAUCAGAAAAAAGAAAAACUAGGGUCUCCGCGAUCAGACGCAUGUAAUGUACUUCCCAAUACUGAAAGAAGUAGGUAGCCAUAUACGUCUCCCAUGUUUUUUCACAUUCAUAGAGAGGGAGUAGUAACCCAACAACCUGCCUAAUGGAUCUCGCAGCACUUGCUUAUUCUUCUAUUUUGUUCAGUUCUUGCAGCAGGGCUGUCAGAAACCCUCGUCCAUUCAUUCCGUAGAUUGGAAGUAGGAAUUUGAUUCGCUACUGUAGACACGUGUGUGAUGGAAAAGAAAAAGCAGAAUUCUGUCGUUUACUGCAAAGACACGUACGAUAAUAGGAAAUUGCAGAAAUUAAUUAGGUGUGGAAUACCCCAAUAAUAAUAUAAAAUAGUAUUAAGGAAGCACGUACAUAUUAACAGUAAUACCGAAUUACUUACUUUUGGACGUAGUACUACGAAUAAAAUAUCCAUUGUCAUUUUCCAGCAGCUUAAGUUAUACUACUACUACUACUAUAUAACUCAGCAAAGCAUGUCAUUUUCAAGAAUGCGAAAUAAAAAAAAAAAAAGGCUGUUUGACGUUGAAACUUUCAAAUUCACCUGCCCCUUUAAAUUUUAGAUUAUCCUCGAUCUUAUAAUGUAUGGAGAGGUAAUUUUCAAAUCCCAUAGACAUACAUCAUCUCCAUCUCCAUGACAGAAUCACUACUGAGUAAUUAAUUAAUAGAAAUUAAACAAAACCAUCCCUAGGCAGUAGGCACAGGACAUCAAUAAGAAUAUGUGUAAAACAAGUUGGUCGCUUAAUUGUCCUUUAGCUUUAAAUACAUAUGUUCUCCAAGGUAUACUACUCUACCGUGUCUUUUACACCAAGAAACAUAAUAAUUUUAUUGUGCAGAAGAAGGUCGGCAAUUGCUGGAACUGGAAGGAGGGUCGUUAUACAUAUGAUGGUCUUUAAAGGCGGCAAUCAAUUGAAGAGUCAUAGUAUAUAAUUUGGAGGAUGGAUACAGGCAACCAGCUUCUACGUUGGUAUUUCAAGAUUUUGAUUAUUGAUUUCCGAAACGAAUGCUUAUGAGCCAAAAGCAAGCAGCAUACAGUCACCAAAAUCGUAUAACAAUAUUAUAUUUAUGAUUUGAUAGAGGGUUAAUUCCACUUUGUCCCCCCAAACUUUGGACGAUUACCCACUUAAGUCCCUAAACUUCAAAAUGGGACACUUAAGUCCCUAAACUUAUAAAUACCUUCCACUUAAGGAAAAUUGUUAACAAAUCCUGAAUGUCGUUGGUGGUCGAAGUGUCCCAUUUUAUAAGGGUUUAGGGUUAUAAGUGUCCCAUUUUAUAAGUUCAGGGACUUAAGUGGGAGGUAUUUAUAAGUUUAGGGACUUAAGUGUUCCAUUUUGAAGUUUAGGGACUUAAGUGGAUAAUCGUCCAAAGUUUGGGGGGACAAAGUGGAAUUAACCCUUUGAUAGAAUUAGAACCGAGUGCUCGAAACUGAAGAGUUCCAUCUCUCUCUCUCUUUCCAAGUAAGUAGUCAAAGAUUCUCUCCUCUGGACUGGAGUGGAGACGUACUUCUUCGCUAGUCACUGCUACUCUUCCCAUCAACAAAUUUAUCCAAAACAAAAAGACUUUUGCUAAUUCCAUUCUCUGUUCGUUAGUUGGGAGUCCUGGUCCAAAAAAAUUCCAACGCAUACCUACCCAUCCGACUCGCAGCAGGAAUGGGAAAAUAGUUUCCUUGCUAAUCCAGCAUUUCCAAGAUUUUCCCUUUGCAGGCCCUGUCCCUUCCGCAUUUAGGCAGCUUAACAAACAUGAUGAUGUCUGCAGCGGAUAAGCCCAGUAGAUUGCCUUUAAACAAAUGACUUUGCCCUUUGCUCAAAAACUCGACUGUUCCCCCCUGAGAUAAUUUAGCAGCAGUGACGACAUGUACGUGCUUGUAAAAAAAAAAAAAAAAAAUCUCAACAUCUCUGAUUGCUUACUGUGCAUUUGUGUCUGCAUUAAUAAGUGAUAUCAAUCGUAUUUAUAUCACUCGUUGUAUUUAUUUUUAAAUAAUAAAAAAAAAAAACAUCGUUUGUAAUCCACUGACCAUUUAAUUUCUUACUUAAUAAUCUAGUGCACGUGUCGCAUGGAUAAGCAUUUCAGUACUCAUUAUUUGAACCUGUACCACUUGCUAAUUCUUUGUGCAUCUAAUUCCAACCUGCACCAUUAGGCACAUAUCUUCUUUCCUCUUCCACUUUUAACAUUUUCAUUUUUUGCAGAUUGGCGUAAAGUUGCAGUAAUCCUCUGAAAAUAAAUAUAUGCGACGCCGAUAAGCAUUAGUCAGAGACCGUUGAGGUAGGAGGGGGGAGAGAGUUACCUGUUUGGACAGGGGAAGGGGAGGAGUGUGUCAAAAGGACGCCGGUCCAAUUUUCAGUUUCAUAUUAUUACAAGAGUACACUUACCACCAAAGUGACACCCAAAUAUUGCACUUGGAUGGUUACUGCUUCUGUGAAAUGCCACGUAAUUAGCAUGCUCAUAUGGCGAUUUCGGUUUGUAAUGAGAAGCCAGUACCGUUCUAAUGUUAUAUCUUAAUUAGAAGAUUCUAAUGGUUCAACUCCCAAAAAAAUCCGGAUUUUCUCUGCUCCACC